UAAAAUAAUUUUUGACCGUAAAUAUCCUUAUUCAUUAUUCAGUUCAUCAUAAUUUUACCUUCAGCCGAAACUCAAAACUCUUUAAAAUAGUGUAAUUGACUUUAACUUAGCCUAUCCCAAACAGAAGUAUCUUAUGAAGAAAAAAUAAUUAAAAUUAUAAAAUAUUAAUUUAUCUCUCACACUUCUACCUUUUAUGCCAUUCACUUCAUAUCAAGCAAAUAGCAAAAUUGAAGGAAUCUUCAAUUCCGCAGCUAUACAAACAAACAAUGCAAGGGAAGUAACUUUCAAUUGAAUUCUAGAUCACUCGAAAAUCUAGUUUAACUCCCGUCCCUCAACAUAGAAAUGGGGCCUCUUUAUCUGAAUUUCAUCUUCAGUGAACCAAAUGGGGCACCGNUAAAAUUUAAAAUUAUAUGUUUUAAUUUUUCAAAUUAUAAAUUCCAAAUUUUUAAUUUUUAAUUUUAAUUUUUUAAAUUUUAAUUUUAAAAUUUAAACUUUAUUUUUUAAAUUUUAAUUAUUCAAAAUUUUUAAUUUUUAAUUUUAAAUUUCAAAUUAUUUUAAAUUUUAAAAUUAAAAAAUUUAGAUUUAAAUUUUCAAAUGUCUCAAAUUUUAAAUUUAGAUUUUAAAUUUGAAAUUAAAAAUUUAUAUUUAGCAUUAAAAAUUCAAAAUUUAAAAUUUUAAUUUUAAAUUUUUAAAUUUAUUUUUGAAAUUAAAAUAUCAAAAUUUAAAUUUAAUUCAAAAUUUAAAUUAUUUUAAAAUAAAAUUUAGUAAAAUUAUUAUUAUAUGCAAACAUCAAAAUUUUUUUGUUAAAUAGUUUUACAAAAUUAUUUCAGAAAAUUUUUUUUUAUCUAAACUCAGCCAAACGCUCUACAGUUUUUAACUAAAAUCACUUCUCCAAACUAAAAUUAAUUUUGCAGAAAUCACUUUUUCAGAAUCUAGGCCGAAUGGCCUGUAAUCUCACUCGGUCUGUCGGUCAUAUUGGAUAAGGCCUAAAUUGCUUUUUUUUCAAAAAAAAAAAAAAAAAAAAAAAAACCUACAAAGUUGGGUAGGCUUGGGCCAAGCAAAUGAAAUCCUGGUUGGAACCUAUAAUAUCACUGACCAAAAACUUAGCUUGAUGUUUGCUCAGGGCUAACAAGGCCCCUCAAAAUAAAAUGUUGAGUUAUCAAGCAUGAAUUUGUCACAAAUUGAAUUUUAGUUUGUGAGUUACUAAAGUCAAUUUGCCAACUCCAUUUAAACUCUCCAAAGUAAAAAUGAUGUGACAAUUAAUUUAAUUGUCAUGUAAUCUCCAAGAUAAUAUAUAGCACGAAAUGAUGCUAUUAGAUAUAAAUAUUAAAAAUACCGUUCAUUGAUAACAUAUUAAAUUAUACAAAACUAUCAUUUAUCUCCAGAAUCUUAGGCUAUCAGAGAACGAUGUUUAAUUUUUAUAUUCAAAACUCUCCUUAGGUUUGGGUUGAGAGUUUUUGACAAGCCCAAGAGAUAGAGUUAAGUUAAUUUUUUGACAAGCACAAAAUAUAGGCUCUCAGUGCCUCUUGUUUUAAAUAAAAUAGUUAUUUUUUAAAAAAGCUUAAACUAUUAAAUAACGAUAUUUUUAUAUUUUUAUAUUGAACACAAAUGCUAAUUCGGUUAGGGGCCGUUUGGUUUGAUGUAAUUACAAAUACAGUAUAGUUGGAGAUACAUGCAAUUGGAAAUAUAAUAGUUGCAACUUUAUGCAUCCUAUUUGGUUCGAUGUAGUAAAAAAUAUUGCAAUUAUAAAUAAUUUAUUUGGUUGUAUACAGUUGAGAAAUAAUUUUUAAAAUUUUAUCAUUAUAUAUAUGAUGGUGAGAUUACCUCCAAUGUGAAAAAGAAAAUAUUUUUUAUUUAAUAAAUAAUUAAGGAGAUAAAUAUUUUUUUUGUUUGAGAAAAAACUUCAAAUAUAAACUUCAAAUAUCACCCCUAUGAUUUUGCACAUUCUAACUUUAGUACCCUACGGUUUAAAGUGUAUCACUUUUAUAUACCCUGUGGUUUUAUUUUUCUCUUUUUGUUAUCCACUCUACUAACUUUUUCGUUAAAUCAGCGACAAAAUUAAAACUAAAGGUUAUUAAAGUGAAUAUUCGAUAAACUAUAGGUAAGGUAUCUGAAGUUUUUUGUACAUGAUUUAACGAAAAGUUAACGAAGAGUCUUACAAAAAGCGAAAAAUGAAACCACAGGGUACUAAAUUGAUACACUUUAAACCACAGGGUACUAAAUUGAGAAAGUGCGAAUCACAGGGGUGGUAUUUGAAGUUGCCCUUUGUUUAAAGUUAUUCUCUGUAACGUCCCAAUAGUCUCACAUCGGAUGGGAAAUGAUUUUGAUUAGAAUAUACGAGGCCUGAACGCUAGUAAUAAUAAUUAGGCUUAAGCAUUUUAGGAGGGUAGUUUGGGCCCAAUGAGUUAUUAUUAUUUGCUGUUCGAAUUGUUAUAUUCUUCCCAACUGUUGUAGUUAAAACUAUGGCUAAUUUGAAAACACUAAAUGGCUUAUAGUUGAGACUUGAGAGUAUAUCCAUACAUUUUUUUUCUUUUCUUUUUUUGGAAUCAAUGUGAUGCGUCAACAAGCACUCUUCUCACCUUUAUGUAAAGUAUAAAAGUAAAGGAAACAUGACAGUACUAUGACUCUAUGAGCACUAGUGCUCAACACAAGUGUGUGGAAGUGCUUUUGUACUAUUCACUCACUAGCUAAAGAAAUGGGUUAUAAAAGCAUAUGAGACCUUUUUAAGCUAUGCAAAGUUUCAAGUCAUACUUUUUAUGAUUGAUCAACACAUUAAAGCUUAUCUUUUAGAUAUUGUAUUCAGUGCGCGAACGUUCGGGUCGAAAUGAGCUCCAAAUCGAUCGCUUCUUUAAUAAACAAGCAGAAUACGAGUUGAAUUUUUCAACUCGAAAUUUUAAUGCGUUAAACAUAGGAGGGGAUCAACUUGCUCGUAUUUAGCUCGAUAUUUUAACGAGUGUUCAGCUCGUUUAACAAACGAACGAGCAUGAGUCGGCUUUAGCUCGCUCGUGUUUGGCUCGUUGACGGCCCUAAUUAUGUGGGCGGGGAAUAAACUGUUUUUUAUUUUUCUUGAUAUAGAUACAAUUUUUGAGGUAAGAAAAAAUUGAACCAAAUUCCGCAUUUGAACGAGAAUUAGGUUAUUCCUAGAAAAAAGAACAAUAAUAUUUCAAUGGUUAAAUUGGAAUGGCAAAAAUAAGAGUAAUUAAAAUAAUAAUAUUUUAUCUAGUUAAAUAACAUCAAAAUCAAAAUAUUAAUUAAAUGAUAAACUAAUUAAUCAUGAAUACGGUAUAAGAUAAUGGAGAAGUACAUUAAUUAAAAAUUAACUAUAAAAAUCAAUUGAACUUAUUAAUUAAUUAGUUAAAUUAUUUACUUAGUUAGGUAAUUAGUAAUUACUUAAGAAAAUAAUACAGAAUGAGUAAUUAGAUUAGUUAAAAUAUUAAUUGAUUAAUCAAUAUAAAUAUUAGCUAUUGCAUAAACAAUUAAGCCUUCAAUUAGUUAAUUAAUUAUGAAUAAUAAAUUAUUUUUUAAAAUAGUUAAUUAAAUAUUUAGUAAUUUAAUAAAUUAAAAGUGGUUAACUAUUUACCUAGUUAAGUAGUAAAUAAAUUAUUAUAUAAUAAUAUUUUAUUAGUAAGUAAAAGAGGAGUAUGGACUAUAGAGUGGAAUUAUUUUUCUACCUAAAAUGGUGAAACAAUAGUGUGACACCCCAUUAGUCCCACAUCGGAUGGGAAUGGGGUUGUCAUUGGGUUUAUAAGAGACUUAGACACUAGUAAUAAUAACUGGGCUUAAGCAUUUUGGGCCGGUUGUUGGGCCCAACGAGUUAUUGUUGCUAGUGGGCUGGGUCGUUACAUUUGGUAUCAGAGCCGGUUCACCAGCUGGACAUGUGUGGCGAGUCUCGGCUGAGCCAGGGUCUGGAUGACGGGCUAGCGAGACGAGUCUCACAUCGCCUAGUAUUUUGGGCCGGUUGUUGGGCCCAACGAGUUAUUGAUAAUUUUGGUUUGGAAAAAUAAUUUUGGGGAUUAAUAGGGGGGGUGGGCGGGGGAUAUCGCCUUAUCCCCCAACUAAACACCACCUUAACUCUUAUGAGAAAAAAACCGACCGUCCCUAGAGCAAGUGGCAAAGGGCUUGGUGGUUGGUAUCUGAGACCCAAGUUCAAAUCCUAAUUGAUUCACAUUUGUAACUAAGUUUAUUUCUAAAUAAAGUAAACGAAACAGGUAGCGUACUAUUUAUCUCUCUCAAAAAAAAAAAAAAAACUCUUAUGAGAAAAAAAAUUAUUGGGAAAACUAUAGCAUUAAUAGAGAGAAAAGAAAAGAAAAGAAAAGAAAAACUCCGACGUCUAAAACAAUCAAAAUAAGAACUAGAUAGCAUUGAGAAUUCCAUCCAAAAAUUAAAAAUAUUCAUUUGAACAUUAAAUUAAAAAUAUUGUUGCUUAUUUUUGCUUAAAGAGAAAGUAGGUUCAAACUCAUGUACAAGCAAAUUAGAGAAGAGUAUGAUUUUGGAGUUUGUAAUAACCAGAGAGCCUAAACUUAGCUCUAGUAAAAGAAAAACAAUACAAAUAAUCAAUAGCGAGUGUCCCAUUUAUAUCAAAUUUUUUUUUAAAAAAAUUUAGUAAAGUGUAAAUAUAAAGGUCCAAUCCAACCAAAAAUAAAAAAUUCAUCUACUCAAUCAACCUCACCAGGCCUGAUUGCAAAUAGAAAAGGAAAAACAAAAGAAAAAUUAAUCACCAUCUCUCCUUCUUCUCCUUUUCCGCCGUAACCGAUGAGGUAGGAUUUCGACGGUUGGAGUUCGGCCGCGAGAAUCUCGCAGGGACCGUAGAGGACUACGAUCGCCACGUGUCCCUCCGCCACAGGUCGCUGGAGGAGUGGAUGCUAAACAUCCAAGCGGCCCCAUAUAUAGCGGUCCCACAUAUAGCAACACUUUUAAAAAGUAUCGAUAAUUUAGCCAGUAUGUACGGAUAUUUAAAAGUGUCGCUACAUACCCUUUUUGUUGUAGUGAAUAUCAAUUGAAAUGUACUUAUAAUAUAUAAAUACUAUUACAUACGCAUAUGAUGAUGAUUUUAUAAAAUUAUAGAGCCUAUUAGGAUUUAAUUAAUCGAGUCCAAAUUGGGCUAGAGAAUUUUGGAGGUUGCGAAGUAUUUGAGAAUAUAAAGCUAAAUUGUGCAUAAAGAAGAAAAAUAAUUAGAAUUAGAAUGAUGAUAACGACGAUUAUAAUGAGACAACAACAACACGCUAAUAAUGUCACAAAUAUAAUAGUUAUAAUGAUAUAAAUUUAUACAAAAUUUGUAAGAGUCUUGGUGCAAUUACUAUUUUCUUAAAGAACACGAUUAAAUAAGAUUUGUAAAAGUUAACCUCGUUCGCGAAACCCCAUCAUCUUCUAAUAAUAUCGGACGGCCAUGAAAGCAAAUGAUAUUUGUUUAUAUCAAUACAUGGAAAUGAUAUCGACAAUGGUGAUAACAACUAUAUUAACAUACUAAUAAGAGUCCCGCUACUACGCUAUCGGUAGCACGGAGCGCUCCGUGCUACUGAGUUGUUUUCGAUGAUGCGGCUUCCAAAUCGACGAUCGGCUCCAUUAGACUUGAUCUACACUAUUGAAAAUAUUUGGAAAUUAAAUUUCAGAUUUUUUUCGACAUCAUUUGACUAGUGAUCAAAAGAUCUCAAAAUUGACAAUUUUCGUGAUCGAUGUGGUGUGUUUGUGAGUUUAACGGUGUAAAACAAUCCAAAUGCGAUGAAAAUUUUAUAGAAAAUUCUUUUCACUAUUUAGAGUAAGAUCAGUAUAUCUGAUCUUGAAUUUAAAUCUUUUAUCAUUAUUUUCAUGAGAUUUUUAUUUUCAGCCGUUCAAUUUUAGACUACUUGUUUGAUAGGUAAAUGAUAUCGAAAAAUAUGAAACUUAGUUUCUAAAUACUUUCAAUAGUGUAGAUCAAGUCUAACGGAGUCGAUCGUCGAUUUGAAAGCCGCAUCAUCGAAAACAACUUGGUACCACGGAGCGCUCCGUACUACCGAUAGUAUAGUAGCCUAGUUCUACUAUAUAUAUAUAUAUAUAUAUAUAUAUAUGCACGUGAUAACUGUAAUUUGAAUCUGUACGCAGUCUAUAAUUAAAAUUGUUGAUAUAAUUAAUAUUUGGGAAAACUUCAAAUACCAUCGCUAUGGUUUCACACUUUCUAACUUUAGUAUUUUAUGGUUUAAAGUGUAUCAAUUUAGUAUUCCGUGGUUUUAUUUUUAUCUUUUUAUUAUCGAUUUCACUAAUUUUUUUCGUUAAAUUAGUAACAAAGUUAAAACUAAAGAGUACUAAAGUGAAUAUUCAAUAAACCUAGGUAGGAUAUCUGAAGUUUUUUGUAUAUAAUUUAACGAAAUAUUAACGGAGAAACUGACAAAAAGAUAAAAAUAAAACCACAGGACACUAACUUGAUACAUUUUAAACUACAGGGUACUAAAGUGAGAAAGUGCGAAACUGCAGUAAUGAUAUUUUAAGUUUAUCUUUUUUUUAAUGAAGAACUUAAGUAAACAUAUGAUUGAUGAUUGUGAAAAUCCUAUUCAUCAUUAACAAUUUUGACUUAUGGGGACUUAAUUCUUUUCCCACCACAUAGGAGAUAAUGGAAUGAUCCUUUCAAACCCACUCACCCCAUCAUCAUCUUCUAGAUAGAUCUUUUGUUCUUGUGCUUUCACACUCUUUUGCUUUUUCUCUUUUUUUUCUUUUUUUUCCUUACUUUUUGAUUCUUUGAUGCCUUUUCCUUUUCCCCUUUUGUAUUAUUUUGUUUAUAGAGUUUUUUUAGCUAAUUGACUCUUGAGGUAUAUUUACAUAUGAACCCUUCUAAAAUUGUUCAAAUUGAUUUUAAAAAAAAUUUGAUAAUGUGUUAAUGACAGAAAAUGGAGUUAAAAGAGGUCUCCCUAUACUUUCAAAAUUGUGUAUUAGACAUGUGAGAGACAAAAUUUUUGUAUUCACAAGAUAUUUUAUGUCAUAUAAUUAUGAGAAGGAAAAACUUCAAAUACCACCCAUAUGGUUUCGUACUUUUUUACUUUAGUACCCUGUGGUUUAAAGUGUAUCAAUUUAGCACCCUGUGGUUCGCACUUUCUCACUUUAGUACCCUGUGAUUUAAAAUGCAUCAAUUUAGUACUCUGUGGUUUCAUUUUUCUCUUUUCGUCGGUUCCUCUGUUAAUAUUUCGUUAAAUUAUAUACAAAAAACUUCAGAUACCCUACCUAGGUUUAUCGAAUAUUUACUUUAGUACCCUUUAGUUUUAACUUUGUCACUGAUUUUUUUUCUCCCGUUAAUAUUUCGUUAAAUUAUAAACAAAAAACUUCCAAUACCCUAUCCAGGUUGAUCGAAUAUUCACUUUAGUACCCUUUAAUUUUAACUUUGUCACUUAUUUAAUGAAAAAUAUCAGUAAAAUGGAUAAUAAAGAGAAAAAGAAUGAAACCACAAGGUACUAACUUAAUACACUUUAAACCAUAGGGUACUACAGUGAGAAAGUGCGAAAGCAUAGGGACUAACUUGAUACACUUUAAAUCACAGAGUACUAAAAUAAGAACGUGUGGAACCACAGGAGGGUAUUUGAAGUUUACCCUAAGAUAUAUUGAUACCACAAAUUAUAAGUAUCAAUUUGGUACUUAAUUUUUAUUCUAGUUUAGAUUCGGAUCAGUAAUGAGUCUCUUAACAUGGAUACCUUCUAAAAUAUUUUAUGCUAAUAACAUUUUAUCUCCAAACACUACAUCCCAAGAGAGUCAAGGUCCUGCUAAAUAAAGGGAAUAAAAAAUUUUGGUGGAAAUAAUCCCCAAUAGAUGGAGCAGUCUCAAUUAGACAGUUUCCACUAAAUUUAAAAAUAUUUAUUUAUAGAGAAAAAAAAAGGAAAACUUGGCGGUGAUUGUUUUCAACUGCGUCGUUUAUGUAAUGAGACGACAGAUAUAGUGGUCUCACAUUAGAGGCCGUCGGAAAAAAAAAAUUAGUGGGGUAACCCCUAAUAUAAGAUUGUUAUCUAUCUUAUUCAUAUGAUUUUGCCAUUCACUUUAUUUAUAUAUAGGAAAACUUCAAAAACCCCCUCUGUGGUUCCAUACUUUUUCAUUUUAGUACCCUGUGGUUUAAAGUGUAUCAAGUUAGUACCCUGUGGUUUCUCACUUUAUCACUUUAGUACCCUGUGGUUUAAAGUGUAUCAAGUUAGUACCCUGUGGUUUUGCACUUUAUCACUUUAGUACCCUGUGGUUUCACACUUUAUCACUUUAGUACCCUAUAGUUUAAAAACCACAGGAUACUAAUUUGAUACAAAAUCAAAACCACAGGGCACUAAAGUGAUAAAAUGCAAAACCACAGGGUACUAACUUGAUACACUUUAAACCACAGGGUACUAAAGUGAUAAAGUGAGAAACCACAAUGUACUAACUUGAUACAUUUUAAACCACAGGGUACUAAAGUGAAAAAAAUUGAGACCACAAGGGGGGUUUUUGAAGUUUUUCCUUAUUUAUAUAUUGAUGGCAGAUAAAACAAUCUCAAGAUGGAAAUAGUCUCCUCCAAAUUUUUAUGAAAAAUGCUUCGGCACCCCUAUUGUAGAUACAUUACUAUAUUGUUAAAGUGUUGACUCCCAUCCCUAGCGCAAGUGGCAAAGAGCUUGGUGGUUGGUACUCAAGGUUUCAAGUUCGAAUCCUAGUUGAUUCAUAUUUUCAGCUAAAUUUAUUUCUAAAUGAAAUAAACGAAGUGGGUAACGUGCUACCUAUCUCUCAAAAAAAAAAAAAAAUUUAUGGUGUUCAGGGUUUAGAAUUUAGAAUUUAAAAUUUGUAAAAAUGUAUAAAACUUGCAUGAACUAUGGACGAUUUUGAUUCGACUACCUAACCUUUCAAAAUUUUAAUUUAGUAUCCAACCUUUCAGUUUGUCUGAUUUAAGUGAUUUGAUGACACUUUGGAUAUAAUUUAAGUUAACUGCUUAAUUUAAUGGAUUUAUAGUUACGUAAAUUUUAUAAAAUAUACUAACUAAAUCUUUAAAGAUAAAAGACACAAUAAAAAAUUUUAAGUUAAAGAGUCAAUAAUUAGCUCUAAUCAAAUAAAUUUAAAAGUCAGAUAGUAGAAUCAUUUUUUUUCAAAAAAAAAUUUAGCUAGUCUAAAUGGAUGAUAGUGUUGGAAAAUUUUAUACAUUUUUACCUUUAUUAGAAUUUAAUUAGGGAAAAAUGCAUAGAACUUACUUGAACUAUUGACCAUUUUGAAGGGCUUUUUAUGCAAUUAGCCCUUCAAAUUUUUUUCCACAAAUAGCCCCACAAAAUUUAUAAUUGCAAAACUGACCCUAUUCUUGUCACGUAAGCGCCACGUGAGCGGCUGACUAGACAUAAGUUGAACACAGUGAACUAUUCACCGUGUUUGUACACGAUGAACAGUACACCGUGUUUAAGCUAAACAUGAACUUCUACAACGUGAGACGCGCUAGUUGGAUUGGUUUAGUUCUUCUGAACAAAUUGAACAAGGUGAAUCAUUCACCGUGUUCAACUUAACCCUUGGCCCCAACCGCUCACGUGGUGUUGAUGUGGCGGGGAUAUGGUCAAUUUUGUCAUUAUAAAUUUUGUGAGGUUAUUUGUGAAAAAAAAAUUAUAAGAAGGCUAAAUGCAAAAAGAGUCCCAUUUUGAAUCUACUAUCCGAUCUUUCAAAAUUUUGAUUUUACUAUUUAAACUUCUAAUUUAUUUGAUUUGAGUUAGCCAACGACACUUUGACUUAAAAACUUGAAUGCGUCGUUUAUGUUUAUAGAUUUAGUUUAUAAAUUUCAUACAAUUCUAGCAACUAUAAAUUAAUUAAAAUUAGAAAUUAGCUUAAAGUUUAAAGGCAAAGCAUUAUUUACUGACUCAAAUCAAAUAAAUUAAAAAUUUGCAUAGUAAAAUCAAAAUAUUGAAAGGCCGAAUAGUCAAUUCAGAACAGUUCAUAGUUCAGAUAAGUCUCUUAUGCUUUUACCGAAAUAAACGAUAUUGCUAACAUAUAAAUAAUACUGGGUUACCCAUAUGGAGAUAAAACUUCAACGAGGAGCUUCCCAACAAGAAUGACGUCUUGUUUGCGGAGCUCCUGAUUUGCUGCCACAUAUUGCUUCUAUCAAAUACUUUGUUAGAUUUUAUUUAAUACUAAAUUCAAUUUUUUAAAAAAAUUUUAGAGAAAAUAAUUAUAAUCGUUGAAUAAAAAUAAAAAUUUUUAAAAAUGAUAAUGAACUAAAAAGUGGUUAUCCCUCUUAUACCCAAACAAAAAAAAAGGAGUCAGAAUUAAAUUAAAAAAUUUAAAAUUAAAAUUUUAUAAUUUGUAAUCUUAAAAUUAAAAUUUUAUAAUUUUAAACUCUAAAUUUUAAAUCUUAAAUUUUAAAUUGAUACUUUAAAAUUUAAAAUUCAAUAUUUUAUAUAUUUAUAUUUAGAUUUAAUCUUAACUUUAAAUUUUCAAAAUAUAAAAUUUAAAAUUUUAAAAAUUUAAAUUCAAAUAUAACAUAAUGGGCAAUAUUAUUGUUUUUUAUUUAUAAAUACCAACUAUUAUUCUUAUUCUAUCUUAUUUAUCCAAACGCUAUUUUUCUUAUUUUCGGAAACAACUCAAUUUUCAUCCAAACAUAAAAUUAGUUUAAUUUUUGCUGAUAUCCGAACUUGUACUUAUUCCUGUAAUAGGCAGUUCUUACUUAUACCCGAAUCAAACAAAAUGUUUAAUGAGGCGUUGUUGUUAGCUCCGUAUUUAGUGAUGUCAAUGGGUCGGAUUCGGGAUGGAUUCUUAAAAACACGAACUGAAACCCGACUCAAAACUCGAAACCCGAACCCAAACUGUGAAACAACCGUUGUACUCUAAAAACUUAAGCUGUUAGAGAAUGGUGUUUAAACAUUUUUAUAUUUAACACUCCCCCUCAUGUCUGGGCUCGAGACUUUUUAAUCGGCUCAUGACGUGGGCUUGAAUUAAAUGGGAGGGCGUGAUUCGAACUCAGAACCUCCUGCUCCGAUACCAUGUGAAACAACCGUUGUACUCUAAAAGCUUAAGCUGUUAGAGAACGGUGUUUAAAUAUUUUUAUAUUUAACACGAACCCAUAUCCAAACCCGACGAUUUUAAAAACCCAUAUCCAAACCCGAACCCGACAAAAAAUUCAAAACCCAAACCCGAACCCGAACCCGAAAAUUCGAAUCCAAAAUAAUUAUUUCUCUUUUCAUUCAAAAUAUAUAUUAUACUAAAAAACUUUAAAAUAUAAAUUCAAAUAUAUCAUUAAUUUUUUAUAUAUAAAUAUUAUAUAUAAUGUAAAAUAAAUUCGGAUUCGGCUCUGGUUUAGGUUGGGGUUGGGGUCGACUGGUGGGGUAUAGCCAAAUUUUAUAUAUGUCAAAUUUUUUUUUUUUUUUUUUAGAUCUAAAAUUAUUUCUAUUUUAGUAUAUGAUAAAUUUACUCUGUUCGGAUUCGAAUUCAGAUUCGAAAAAAAUUUCAGACAUCCGUAUCCAUUCACAUCACUAUCCGUAUUAAUUUUCAUUCCUGUAGUUUCUAUUCAGAAAAAAAUUUAAAAUUCCAAAAAAGAGAGGGAGUCUCGAAGACCGAAGACCGAGGCGACAUUCACAUUCACAUUCACAUUCAUACACAUAUAAAUAUAAAUAUAAAAUAUAUAUAAAUAAAAUUAAAAAAUUAUAUCUUAAAAAAAAAAAGAAAAAAACUCAAAGCGGUUUUCUCCCUCCCUCUCCCUCUCUCUCUCUCUCUCUCUCUCUCUCGCGAUCGAAUUCUCUCUCUCUCCUCCUCUCCCCGCUUCUUCUUCGACUCAGGUUCGAUCCAGAAACCCUAGAAUCCCCUCGGAGGCGAAGACGAAGUCGCCGCCGCCGCCGCCGCCUCAAUCCCGGGUUCGAUUACUUGCCCUGUUUCGUUCUUUUUUUUGGUUAUGUUGUGUGGAAUCGAUCGAAUGGUGUUUCAGGGCUUGUUUUGAUUCGGUUUGGUUCGUUCUCUGCUCCGGAGAUGCUGGGGACGGGGUCUUGUGUUGAUUUAUAGGGUUUUGCGUGUGAUUUGAUCCUCUUUUCGUUUUUUUCGAUCCCUUUUUACGGGAGUUGUUAUUAUGUUAUAUACGCGUGAAUUGAGUUGAUUUUAAGUGGAUGUAGUUGUGCUCGUAAUCCGUAUGAGGAAAUGCUCUGGUGAAAGCCUCGCCUUUUUAGGCAUGCUAGAAGCUCACAUGCUUCUCUUUUCAAAAUUUUGAUGCAUAGGAAUGCUUUAGAAUGCAUCGAAUUAGUUAAAUUCUCAUUUUGAGGUCAUUAUGGUAGGAUUGUACGAGUGCGAUGCGCAGAGCACCCAUUGCAUGCGAUAAUUUCGUCCCGAACUAUAGUGCAUGUUGAAACCAGUACUUGAACUUUAAGGGCUCGUUUGGUAUCAUGUUUAUUUUUCAUUUAAUAGAUAAAAUCUUUUACAUAAAAAACAUGUAGAAGUGUAGUUCAGUGGAUUGCUUGCAAUCUUUUCAUUCAAGAUGUUUUGUUUGCAACAAAAAAUAAAAACUUGGAAACUACUUACUUUUUGCUUCCAAUUAUUUCUUUUCUUAAAGAAGUUGUCAUCUAUCACGUGCCUGGAUGCAUCGCUAAUGAAUCACACAACAGAGAAAAAUUCUUUUGCCAGUACAUCUAAUUAUACAGAAUUAGUGUUAAAAAAAAUAAAAAAUUGACAACAAUGCCAUACGAGGCCUUAAAAUUUUAAUUUUACUACCUAAACUUUCAUUGUUUCUGAUUUGAGUAAAUUAUAGUGUCCAUCGACGAUGUUAUGGACUACACUGUCGAGUGAUACAACAGGGUACACAGAUUGGAAGGUUAGGGAGUAGUAUAAGGUGAGGUAGUGUACUCAAAACUAUUCAAGUUCAGGUAUAUGUUUUUACCUUCUGCAUAUGAACUGUGUUUUUACUUGUUAUGGUAAUAGUCCUGAUUUACUUUCUUUUUGUUUACAGAGUUAAGAGGGUGGUGUCAUUUAUAAGAGAAUGGAACCCAAUGGGAAAGACAAUCUGAAAGCACCACUACUUCAAACUUCAGAAAAUGUUUCUGUUACUUCUCCUGGAGGAUCAAAGAAAGAUGAAAAUAAGACCAAGCAGGUUGAGUUCAGGAUUCGAGGUAUAAAAUGUGCUUCUUGUGCAGUAUCUAUAGAAUCUGUGGUGGCGAAUAUGAAAGGGGUUGAGAGCAUCUCUGUGUCGCCGCUUCAAGGUCAAGCUGUGGUCUUUUACAAGCCUGAACUGACGAAUGUAAGUAAGGUUAUUAAACUAGGGGUAGUAUAUGAGCUCUUUCUCUAUAAAUUAGUCUUCUCAUUCUACUUGAUUAUUAUUAUAAUUAAAAGAUUUGAAUAAGCAACUAAAUUUGCUUAGGAAAGUUGACUGUCCUUUUGAUUUAUUGCAGUGUGGUUAUGGUAAACCAUUUAUGCAGAGUCCCAAGCUUAAUGCUUUUCCAUUUAUCGCCAUUCUUUAUUCUUGUCAACCGACUUUGAAUUCAGUUCUAAACAAUAUUACUUUGUUAUCUAAUUAGUUCAAUCUGUUUCCCUGAUUAACUAAACACUAGUUUAGUGUUAAUUUAUCGACUUGUAGUGCAUAUAUGGCAUUAUAAGAAAGUCCAUGUACUGAUUUUGUUAUUUAUUUUUCUUCUUUUUUAUUGAUCUCUCUGGAAACUGUAUAUACAUCAAUAUAUCGUGUCUUGUCGUACAUUCAUUUCCUACUUUAUUUUUACGAACUUGCAUAUCUUUGAAUGAUUUGGAUGAAUUGAUGGAGGUGUUUGGUGAUUUCAUCAAUGAUGAAACUCGAUUAUCUGGAAGACGAAUUAUGAGAUCGCCGUCAUUAAAAGCUCGAACUAAAAUGGUUGAUUCCAUGUUUAGUACGAUUUCACUUCUUCAAGAGAUGCACUUCCUUUUAACAAUAAAAUUUCUUUUGAAUUUUAAAUAUUUUACAUUUCGAGAAAAGAUGCUAGUUUCAGUUUCUAAUCACCUGUGGACCUUCCCUGCACACUUUCUUUGCACUGAGAACUUACUUUCUUAUCUCCAGGCACAAAUGAUAAAGCAAGCCAUUGAAGACCUGAACUAUGAAGUGGACGAGUUCCUAGAGCAGGAAAUUGCUGUAUGCCGCCUUCGAAUUAAAGGAAUGGCCUGCACAAGCUGUUCCGAAUCUGUUGAAAAAGCACUUUUGAUGGCUGAUGGGGUCAAAAAAGCCGUAGUUGGCCUUGCCCUUCAUGAAGCCAAAAUCCACUUUGACCCCAAUAUUACCAAUGCUAAUCGUCUCAUUGAGGCUAUUGAAGAUGCUGGGUUUGGAGCUGAUUUAAUAAGCUCAGGUGAUGAUGUGAACAAAAUUUAUUUAAAUGUUGAUGGCCUUCGUUCUUUAGAAGAUGCCAACCUCAUUCAAUCAGUGCUUGAAGCUGCUGAUGGUGUGAAUACUGUUGAAUUGGAUCCAUCAGGCCAGAAAGUGAUUAUAGCCUAUGAUCCCGAGCUGACCGGCCCAAGAACACUUAUUCAAUGCAUUGAAGAAGCAGGUCCGUUUCACGCGACCUUGUGCACACCUACGAGGCAAAGAGAAACAGAACAGCAGAAUGAAAUUAGGGCUUAUUGGAACCAGUUUCUUUGCAGCUGCCUGUUUACAGUCCCUGUUUUCUUGUUCUCUAUGGUUUUGCCUAUGUUUUCUACUGCUGGGGACUGGUUGUCUAGUAAAGUUUACAACAAUCUGACUGUUGGAAUGCUGCUGAGAUGGGUCCUUUGCACUCCAGUGCAAUUCAUAAUCGGCUGGAGGUAUGGAAUCUGCAUAUCUUAUUGGGGCUUUUUAUGUAUAUAUCCUUGUAAACUUGUCAGUUUACACAUGCAUUUUCUUUGUAAAACCUGAAAUUUUAUACUUACCCCUUGAAGUUGCAUUUUCUUACAAAAAAAAACCUUUAUCUUAACUUGGGGAAUGAUUCAAUUCAGGAGGAGAGUUGGCUUACAUUAGAAAAAUGAUUUUUAAAUCGAGGCAUUUUUGUAAGUAGAAGGCUCUUACUGAUAUGGAAUGAUAAUAACUCAUUGAAUUGAUUACAUAUUAUAAGACUCUCUCUUCUGUUGGUUGGCGUUAAAUUGGAGAAUAAUGACUUACCGGCUCAUUUCACUAUUUAGCAUUUGAUCCAAUGAAACACUUUUUAUAAUUAGUGCCAUAAAGUCACCUAUUUGCUUAGUUUUGGAUUACUUAAUAGAUGAUCAUGAUUACUAGUUAUUUGAUGGCAUUUACUGGUUCUUCAGAUUAAUGAUAUAUGGUGUUACCAAGAAUCUGCGAUGUUAGUAGUUGGUGCCGGAAUGGCCAUCACUAAAUCAGUUUUGCUUAAUGUAUCAAUUUACAGAGUGCCCUAAUAUUUGGGUUUUUUUUUCCCCCCCCAAAUACAACUCAGAUUCUACAUUGGAACUUAUCAUGCACUAAAACGGGGAUCAUCUAACAUGGAUGUUUUGGUGGCAUUGGGAACUAACGCUGCCUAUUUCUACUCAGUAUAUAUCGUGUUAAAAGCACUAACAUCACAAACAUUUGAGGGAGAGGAUUUCUUCGAAACUAGUGCUAUGCUGAUAUCUUUUAUUCUGCUCGGAAAGUAUUUGGAGAUUAUGGCAAAAGGGAAGACGUCAGAUGCUCUGGCAAAGUUAACAGAUCUUGCGCCUGAUACGGCUGUUUUGCUAGAUAUGGAUAAGGAUGGAAAUGUCAUUUCUGAGAUGGAGAUUAGCACUCAGUUACUUCAAAGAAAUGAUGUGAUCAAGAUUGUUCCAGGUGCAAAAGUUCCAGUUGAUGGGGUAGUUAUUAAGGGUCAAAGUCAUGUGAAUGAGAGCAUGAUAACUGGAGAGGCAAGGCCGAUUGCGAAGAGACCAGGAGACAAGGUUUGAUCAAAGUAUCUUUGUCAUUGUUUGUUGUUUCAGAAUCUGUUAGUAUGGCUUGUUUGAGGAUAUGUUAUUAUUAUUGUUAUUAUGACUAAACUACAGGCCUAAAUUUACGUCCUUCAAGAUUUAGACCUUUAACACUAUAUCUUCUUCCUAACACAUUUUUUAUUCAGAACUAUUAGGUAGUCUUAAAUAUUAUCUGAAUUAUCCAUUGUACCCUUUUUAUGCAAGGAAAGAUUAAGUUUAAAGAUUUUUUAAGAAUUCUUAAUGGAAAAAUGUGAUGGGAAGGUGAUCAAAUGCUUAUACAUUUGUCUACGAUGAGCUUAUAAUAACUAUAUUUAUCUGAAACUUAUUGCUGCUAUUAAUUAAAAUUUUAAUUUAGCAAUUUUGUUAUUGUUUGUUGGUUCGGUAGCGAACUUUUUAUUUUUGGAAUGGAUUUUUACGGAAUCCCCAUGAAUCGGAUCAAACCUUAUUCCAUGAUAGUUCCAUAAGAUUCCUCUUUCUUAUUCUUAAGCAAGCCCCUGAGAGGGCUUAGUUGAUCAUGAUUUAUGUUUUAUCUUUCUUUUCCUUUAUGUUUGUUUCGAGAAAGAUAUCGUCUGAUUCUUUUUCUAUUGAUUCUUUUCCAAUCGAGAUGUAUGGAUCCAUGGGUCUGUGUGUCUACAUAGAUCCUGUUCAUGGAUUAACGAAAAUGUGCAAAAGCUCUAUUUGCCUCUGCCAUUCUAUGAGUCUCUUCCUUUUUGCGUAUGGCAUCGCCACUCCCUUUGGCAGCAUCUACUAAUUCGGAACUUAAUUUGAAAGCCAUAUUUCGACAAACUACUGUGUCAUAACGCACUCUGCUGGCUUAAUUGUCACUACCAGGUUAUUGGUGGUACGGUGAAUGAGAGCGGAUGGAUAUUAGUUAAGGCCACUCGUGUUGGGUCAGAAACUGCAUUAUCACAGAUAGUUCAGCUAGUGGAAGCUGCUCAACUUGCAAGAGCUCCGGUUCAGAAGAUAGCGGACAGGAUAUCACGGUUUUUUGUUCCAACUGUAAGUUUUCUGCUGUUUUCCUUGCAUUUUAUUUGUUUUUUCUUAGUUGUCUGUGUAGAUCAUCUAGAUAAACAUGCAUUUGUUGGGAAGAAAUUCAACGGAGAUAAGUCUAUUUGGUCCAACUUUUGCUUCUGUUUUCCCCCUAGCCACCUCUAGUCGUACUUGACUGUCGAGAUUCUACCUUGGUGGAAAGCCAAAAUGAGCUUUUUGUGACUAACCCUCAAAAGUGAAAUCUCCAACUAGGAGCUUCCAUUCUUUGGCACAGGGAAGCUGUUGGAGGAAGAAUUUUUGUAAGUAGAUGAACAAUCUAGACUCUGUUUCAUUUUUUUUUUUUCAUUUUUUUCAUCAUUUCUUUGGCAGGUUGUGAUGGCUGCUUUCAUUACUUGGCUUAGCUGGUUCAUAUGUGGAAAAGCCAACCUUUAUCCAAGGCAUUGGAUACCAAAGGCCAUGGAUGAGUUUGAGCUAGCUUUGCAAUUUGGCAUCUCGGUGUUAGUUAUUGCUUGCCCAUGUGCCUUGGGACUAGCAACACCGACAGCUGUUAUGGUUGCCACAGGAAAAGGAGCUUCUCAGGGGGUCCUAAUCAAAGGUGGCUAUGCUCUUGAGAAAGCUCAUAAUGUAAGUAGCAGAUGGUCAUUAUUGAACUCAGUUGCUUAUAUAUACUCAAAAGUAUACCUGUGCAUAUAGCUCUUGAGUUAAGAGCUCAAUUUGCACAUGUAUUCUUCCUCUUAACAUUGUGUCAUAAAAACAUUAAAAACUUAAUAGAAACUCACAAAUACGAAGAUUAUAACAUAACCUUAUCACUAUAAAUAUUGACACUGUGGCACCUAAUGGUUGAUUCUAUAUAGAGUAUUUUUGGAAAAUUAAGGGCAUUUUUGUCAUUUAAUGAUUAUCCGGGGGUUUAACUUCGGUCAAAUAAAUAAUGAAUUCAUUUUGUACAUAGCUAUAUACGAAUACAAUAAACUUUGGAGGAUAUCCGCACAAAUAGACAUCUCAAAAGGGUAUGCAUGUUAAUAGAACUUUCCUUCGAGAGGUAAAAAGUAGAGAAGAAAGCCGAAGAAGCAAAUAUGAUUUUAGUUUUUUUUUUUUUAUUUUUUUUAACAUUUGUUCUGAUUAUGCUCUUUUUAGUGAUUAAUAAUUUGUUAACGUAGGUGAAAGCUGUCGUAUUUGAUAAGACUGGAACACUAACUAUCGGCAAACCUUCUGUGGUCCAAACCAUGCUGUUCUCGAAGAUGCCGUUGCAAGAGCUUUGUGAUUUGGCUGCUGUUGCAGAGGUCAGCCCUAAAACCAAAAUAUUCCCUCCAUUACUCAAGAAAUGAAUUUGAUAAUGUUCUUGCAUUCAUAGUGUAUUGUUGCAUAGCUGAGCUUAAAAGCUCCAAGUCUUUACUUUUAUGAUUUUUGCAUUCAUACCCCUGAAAAAAUUAUCUAUUUACAUUAUACACAUAUACCCUUGUUUAAUUUGAAAUUUUAUAUAUGCCAAUUUCUUAUACGUGUACCCUUGUUCUUACAAAUACACUUCUUUAAAAAAGAUUUUUAAAUGCUACACAUUUAUAUGUAUCUAUAUUAGGCCCCUUGAUUUUUUAGCUUGCUUAGCUUUUUAUUGUUGUUAUCAGAGUAACAGCGAGCACCCUUUAGCAAAGGCCAUAGUGGAAUAUGCCAAGAAGCUCCGCGAGCAAUACGGUUCCAACACUAAUCAAAUUGCAGAAUUGAAGGAAUUUGAGGUGCACCCAGGUGCUGGAGUUAGUGCAAAUAUAGGGGACAAACAAGUUUUGGUCGGUAACAAGAAGCUAAUGCUUUCCUUUAAACUGCUUUUGAGCCCGGAGAUUGAAAAUUGCAUGUUGGAGACCGAGCAACAAGCACGGACAUGCGUGUUAGUUGCGGUUGAACGUGAAAUUUGUGGGGCUUUUGCUGUGUCCGAUCCUCUGAAGCCCGACGCUGGGCGCGUUGUUUCAUUUUUAAAUUCGAUGGGUAUCUCGAGCAUCAUGGUAACUGGUGAUAAUUGGGCUACUGCUACUGCUAUAGCUAGGGAGGUCGGGAUAAACACCGUGUUUGCUGAGACCGAUCCGGUGGGCAAAGCUCAAAAGAUCAAAGAUUUGCAGGUAACUUGUUUUUGCGAUGCUUAAUUUGGUUAUUGAAAAUUCUUAUCACCUCAAGCACUCUUUCAUUUGCUAUUUUGGCCUUGUUAUCCUUUCUAUAUGUGGUUUCUUUCUUUUCUUUUUUUUUUUUUUACUCAAAAUUCAAUAUAGUUCUUUUGAAAGGAUGCCUUAUAUGCCUCUUUAAUCGCAAAUGUUAAAUCGUUAACAAGUAAUUACUGUUCUCUUUUUUCUUAUUCAUGAAUCCAUUUCCUGUUAGCGUCUUAAAUUUCAGCAAAUGGCGAUUUGCACUUAAUUCGAUCCACCUUGCUUUAGCAAACUUCGACCCUUUAAUGCUAUCAUUUUUUUUUUCUCUGGUGGAAGAUGAAUUUAGGCUUUGUUAAGAUGCAAAAAUCAUACUUGUUUUUUCCGCUUUCACUUUUCUCUUUUUUGUAGUGGUAGUGAAUUCGAUUACGUUGUCGUGAAGGAAUCCGUUGUGUGUGUGUGUUGCAUUCGUUCUUUGGUAGACGAAAUUUAAAUCUUUAAUUUCUUUUCUCUUAAUUGAAACAUUCAGGAUAAAGCUUUUUCUUGUGUAGUAGUUGUAGUGCAGACAUCGGCAUAAUUCGAAGUUUGUGUCAUCUUUUUCUAAAGUUUUUUGUUCUACAGAUGGAAGGUUUGACGGUGGCGAUGGUGGGCGACGGGAUCAACGACUCCCCCGCGCUCGUCGCAGCCGACGUGGGCAUGGCGAUCGGCGCCGGGACAGACGUCGCGAUCGAGGCGGCGGACAUCGUACUGAUGAGGAGCAGCCUCGAGGACGUGAUCACGGCCAUCGAUCUCUCGCGAAAAACCCUCUCUAGGAUCCGGAUGAACUACGUGUGGGCCUUAGGCUACAAUGUGCUCGGCAUGCCGAUCGCCGCCGGCGUUCUUUUCCCCUUCACCGGAAUCAGGCUGCCCCCGUGGCUGGCUGGCGUCUGCAUGGCGGCCUCGUCGGUUAGCGUUGUCUGCUCCUCUCUCUUGCUCCAGUCUUAUAAGAAGCCAUUGCAAGUUCAUGAAGAUGAGAAGGGCUCUUAUGAGAACUCAGAUUCGGUAUGAGUUUUAAUCUUUCAUUAUGAUUUUAAUCAAGUGUUUUUUUUUUCUAUUUUUUUCUUUCUUUUUUUUGGGGGUGAAUUACGCCGCGAGUUCCCGUCGCUAAACUGUUAUUCUCGUUACAAUUUGGUCCCAAAACUUUGAUUUAUCCAAUUUGAUAUAACAUGUCAAGUUACUAUUCCUAAACCCUGAGUCGGAAACUUCCGCUGUAAAACCCUAAAUCUCAGUUCAGAGUUUAGGAGUCAAAAGUUUUUCGGACUAAGACUCAGAUUUUCUACUAGUUUUCGAGCACCUUAAUGCGACAAAUCAAAGCUUAGGGACUAGAGUGAAAUUGGAGCAAUAUUUUAGGAACAAAUGGUGUAAUUUACCCCUUUUUUUUUUUUGGUCUUAAUUGAAACUUUCUCAAUAAAGUGGUAGAAAAUUCUCUACUCUUCUUGAAUUGGAUGAUUUUCUACAAUUGUAUAUUAUUGGAUCUUUAAAUGUAGCUUGAUCAAGUUUGAUUCUUGCAACUGCUACUGCAGUAUCUGAAUAUUGUCCAUAUUUUAGUUGGUGAAAAAAAAUGUAUCUCUACAAUUCAUUUUGGAAAUUUUGCCUCCUUUUCUUUUAGAUUUUUUUUAAUUAAUAGACUUAAAAAUUAUUAUAAUUAUAACAAAAAAUUAUUUAUAAAACUAGCUCUGUGCGGUGAAUGAAUUUAGGGAAAACUUCAAAAACCCCCCAUGUGGUUUCGUAGUUUCUCACUUUGCCCCCCUGUGGUUUAAAAUGUAUCAAUUUGUCCCUCUGUGGUUUUUUUUUUUUCUUUUUCUUAUCAAUUUCAUUAUUUUUUUUUUCUUAAAUCAGUGAUAAAGUUAAAAUUAAAGGGUACUAAAGUGAAUAUUUGAUAAAUCUAGAUGGAUAUCUGAAAUUUUUUGUAUAUAAUUUAAUGAAAUAUUAACGAAAAAGCUACCGAAAAAGUAAAAACGAAACUACAGGGGGGCAAUUUGAUAUAUUUAAACCACAUGAGAGCAAAGUGAGAAACUAUGAAACCACAUGGAGGGUUUUUGAAGUUUUCCCAUGAAUUUAAUCACCGUUUUUGAAAUGUGACAAAUUGUUCGCCGCUUUUUUUAAAGCAUUACAAUUAUUUUUAGUGUAAUAUUGCUAUACAUCCUUUGUAGAAAAUAUAUAAAGUUAGGGGAUUGACCUCUUUCUAAAAUAGUAAAUUAUUUAUCUUUUAAGCCUAAUUUUAUAAAUAGAAUUUUAGUUUUAGAAAAUACUAUAAUUAUAAAAAUAGUCCUCUAAAAAAUUUAUUUAUAAAAUUAAGUUUAUGCGGUGAAUGAAUCACCGUUUUUGAGAUGCGACAAAUUGUUCACUCCCUUUUUUUAAAGCAUUAUAAUUAUUUUGAGUGUCAUAAUGCUAUACAUCCUUCUUAGAAAAUAUACAAAUUAGGGGAUCCACAAUUUUCUAAAAAUAGUAAAUUAUUUAUCGUUUAAGUCUGAUUUUUUUAUAAAUAGAAUUUUGGAGGACUAUUAUUAAGGUAAACUUCAAAUACCCUUCUUGUGGUUUCACACUUUCUCACUUUAGUACCCUUGGUUUAAAGUGUAUCAAGUUAGUCCCUGUGGUUUCGUACUUUCUUAUUUUAGUACCAUGUGGUUUAAAGUGUAUAAAGUUAGUACCUUGUAGUUUCAUUUUUUUUCUUUUUAUUAUCCGUUUCACUAAUUUUUUUUGUUAAAUCAGUGACAAAGUUAAAAUUAAAGGGUACUAAGGUGAAUAUUUGAUAAACCUAGGUAGGGUAUCUGAAGUUUUUUUGUAUAUAAUUUAACGAAAUAUUAACGGAGAAAAAAAAUCAGUGACAAAGUUAAAACUAAAGGGUAUCAAAGUAAAUAUUCGAUAAAUUUAGAUAGGGUAUCUGAAGUUUUUUGUAUAUAAUUUAACGAACAAAGGAGCCGACGAAAAGAGAAAAAUGAAACCACAAGAUACUAAAUUGAUACACUUUAAAUCACAGGGUACUAAAGUGAGAAAGUGUGAAAUCACAUGGUACUAAAUUAAUACACUUUAAACCACAGUACUAAAAUGAAAAGGUGCGAAAUCACAGAAGUGAUAUUUAAAGUUUUUCUUUAUUUUUAUAAUUAGAAAGUUUAAUAGAUCUAGCAGUCCAAAAACUCAGUAUUCAGAUCUCUUUCUCGACGAGAUUGUGUAUGAAUUUGUAUCGAACAGAGAGAUUUUUUAUAUUUAAUUUAAAAGUUCGGAGGUCAUAAUAAAACUUGAGCAAAUGUUCAGAACUGAAAUAUUCUACGCACGUAGUUGUAGGGAAUAUGCAUCCCUUGUUAGGGGUAUUAUUUGUCACCAUAUGAUAACCAUAUUACUUGAUAAAGAGCAAUGCUAUUAUGCGCAUUUAUAAAAUAAGUAUAAGAUUCACAUCCUACUAAAAAUUUUGAAUUCUUAAAUAAUGAUCAUAAUAUAUUUUUAUUUUUUCAUUAAUAAUAAAUAGGUAUAAAUGUAUAAAACUUAUCUCAGUUAUCAUCCAUUUAUAUUUGGCCACCUAACAUUUAAAAACUUUAUUUUAUUAUCUGAUCUUUUACUUUAUUUGAUUUGAGACAAUUAGUGAAUGUUUUUAUUUGAAAAUUUUAAUAUAUCGUUUAUUUUUACGAAUUUAGUUUCUAUAACCUUAUGCAAUUUACAUAACUCUGAAUUUAAUAAAAUAUAAGCAAUUAGCUUUAACUUUAUAUCUGAAAAGUUAUCAAAACACUUAAAUUAAAUAAAUUAAAAGAUUUAGAUGCUAAAAUUAAAAUUUUAAAGAAUUAGACAAUCGAAUCAAAAUGAUCUAUAAUAAUGCAAAUAAGUUAGUGAACUUGUUUUCAACAAAUGUCAAAGUCAAACUCUUCUUCUACCUUAUAAACCGACCGGUUUCAUCGGACCGGAAUCCGUGGCCGGUUCAUCCGGAAACGUACAAAACCCGGUCCGGUUCAGUACCCGAAACUAUAUAUAUAUAUAUAUAUAUAUAUAUAUAUAUAUAUAUAUAUAUACACGCAGGGGUAUUGUCGUAAAUGAACACAACAUUAUCGUACCCCUCAUUCUCUCUCUCUCCUCGUUCUCUUCGAACAUCGCCAUCUCUCUCUCUCUCUCUCUCUCUUCGACCUACGAUUGGAUCCUCUUCAUCAUUGAUUCCCCCCAAACCCUAAACCCUUUCUCCGUUCCCGAUUCGAUUGCUCGUGUACGAAACCUACCAUUUCGAUCUCAUCUUCGGUUAGUCCUACCGCAGAUUGGGAUCGUGUAGGGUUCAGGAACGAGGUGUUCUUCGGAUUUCGAGGGUUUUGGAGGUGCGGGGGCGAUGGAUUGGUUUCAAACCGUAAUUGGAACCCUAAUUUGGAGGAGCUAGAGGAAGAUGAAGGCCUAGAAUCCAUGGAGAAUCCGAUGAUGGGCGGAGGAGGCGGGGGCGGCGGAGGAGGAAUCCUCGACUUCGAUCCCCACCACCACCACCACCACCACCUCCGCCACCUCGUCUCCCACCUCCCCCCCACCGCCGCCUCCCCCAGCGAUGACGACGACCCCACCGCCUCCGCCGCCGCCGACGAUGACGGCCACGGGUACGGCGGCGGCGCCGAUGCCGCCCGCGGCGGAGCAAAGAAGGGUGGGUCCUCCUCCUCCGCGCCGUGGCAGCGCAUGAAGUGGACCGACGAUAUCGUCCGCCUCCUCAUCCGCCUCGUCGCCCUCGUCGGCGACGACCCCGCCGCCGCCACCGAGUCCGAUGGCGGCGGCGGCGCCCCCUGCUCUCGCCGCAGGCCCCACGGCGGCGCCGCCGCCUCCUCCUCCUCCUCGUCCUCCGCCUUACAGAAGAAGGGCAAGUGGAAGACCAUCUCCCGCCUCAUGCUCGAGCGCGGCGGGUGCCGUGUUUCCCCCCAGCAGUGCGAGGACAAGUUCAACGACCUCAACAAGCGCUACAAGCGCCUCAACGACAUCCUCGGCCGAGGCACGAGUUGCCGCGUUGUCGAGAACCCUAGCCUCCUUGACUCCCUCACCCAUGUCACUGCCAAGGGCAAAGACGACGUCCGCAAGAUCCUCAGCUCCAAGCACCUCUUCUACCGCGAGAUGUGCGCCUACCACAAUGGCCAGCGCAUCCCCUCCUCCGCCUGCCACGCUGCGGACGUCCUCCAUCCCCCCAAGCCCGCCAAUGAUGAUCAUGGGCAGGAAAAUGAUUGCGACGAUGAUAAUAAUGGAGAUGAGGAUGAGGAUGAGGAUGAUGAUGAUGAGGAGAAUGAGGAUGGGGAUGAUGUAUAUAGAAAGCGGGGGUUUGAGGGCUUCGAUGCUGAUGUGGGCGGUAUACCCCCAUCGGAGCUGAGGGAGUGGUUCAAGAAGAGAGCUUUGCAGCUUCUUGAGGAGCGGGUGGGGAUUGAGGCUGAGGGUUUUGAGAUCGAGAAGCGGCGGUUUAAGUGGCAGAGGUUUAAGAGCAAGAAGGAUCGGGAGCUUGAGAGGUUGAGAUUGGAAAAUGAGAGGAUGAUGUUGGAGAAUGAGAGGAUGCUGAUGCUGGUGAGGCAGAAGGAGUUUGAGUUGAAUUCGAAUCCGGAAGAAGCUUCUGGUGGCGGAUAUCGGAUGGAGGUGGGGAGGGUUCAGUAAGAUUUUCUGGUCACUAUAACUUUUUGACUUGCCUUAAUUAUUGAGAUUGUUGUGCUUGAAUAGUUGGGGGAGGAAUGGAUCUUUAAUUACUACAUCCGACACUGUUUGUGUUGUCCUGUAAAAAGUUGCUGUCUAGUUCCCUCAAUUAUAAAAUUUUACUGUUAAAUUAUUCAAGACGUAGAACCAUUCUUGCAAUUUUAUGUCCUACAAUGUGUAUAUGAUGGGAAGCAAUGGCCAGAGUGAUGAAAUUAACAUUUCAGCGGAAAUGUCUAAAUUUUCACUGAUGAAGUCAGUCGUAAUUGAUUUGAUCUUGUCGUAGAACUUCCAAAACAAGUUUGUUAUAUUACGCUGCCUAUCUUCAACUUGUGAGGGGAGAUUGCUACUAUCCUGUAUGUUUCUUCAUAUAUUUUGUACUUUAGUCUCUUGGUAGCUGCUUUUAAGAGAAUAAUCCCUUAUAAUCGUGUAAUUUUGUCUUACUUUGCAUUGUGUAUUCUAGUUAGUCCUAGGUUGUCUAUAAUCAAUUGAUUUUAGUAUUUAUUUGGAACCUCUUCUCAAAUACGCAAGUAAUCAUGAGCUUUACGUUUUGUUCAUUUGAAGAGAUUCUCCUGUCAUGGGAUUUCUUGUUAUUCUAGUGGACCUCUUUUGUGUUGUCGUUCUUUUUGUGAUCUUUCAUUUGUGAUUUUUUUUAACGUAAGAUCAGAGGAUGUUCUUCUAUUCUUAUUAAUCGUAUAUUAAGAUGCAGAAUAUCGAUUAUUAGGAUAUCUGAUAAUUUGAUUGAGGGUCGGCAAGAUGUUGCUAUUGAAUAUUGAUUAUCGAUGAAAUAUUGGUAUGAGACUAGAUUCUUGUAGUUAUUUAAUAGUUCAAGGUCUGUUUGGAGGCUAUCUCAUUAAUGGGUUAGUUUUGAUUGUCAAUAAAUCUGUAUUCUUUGAGGCAGAUAAACUUUUGAGGUUCGUAAUACGGUAGUUUGAUAAUUUGAAAGAACCAUAUAUCAUUCUUUUUGUACCCUUGGUAAUGCUCUUGCUUUUGUGACAUUCAUCUUAUCUGCUUUCGCAUCAUCUCAUUUUUGAUGGUUCGCAGUGAAUGACAAUAUCUAGUAAUAUAAGCUGCUCACCUUAUGGUUUCUUUAUAUGAACCCAUUUUGGCGGUAAUGUAUGUAUAUCUUCGAGUAAACAGUUUUGAGGCUUACCACAAUUCUGUUUGGAGUUCGUUAACUUCCUAUAUGUACUACCUGAACUAUAGCAUAAUUGGGUAGCUGAACAUUGAGGCCUUGUUUGGUUUUGUUGCCAUUGUCUUUAUUUUUUAAAUACAAAUUCUAUAUAUGUUGGGUGGAUGGUGGAGUGAGUCUGUACAUUUAAGAGGUUUGUUUAGCAAAAAAGGGAAAAAAGAAACUCAGUAUUAACUUCUUUUACUUUUAUGGUUGUUUGAAGAUGAUGCCUUUCGGCAUCCUACUAGGUUGCAUUUAGCCAAUGAUGACAAGAAUAGGGAAGUCCAUCUGUUGACACUAGGGCUGUAAACGAGUCGAGCUCGAGCGAGCUGGAGCCAGCUCGAGCUCGGCUCGAACGUUUUCAAGGCGGCUCGUGUUCGGCUCGAGCUCGUGACGAGCUGGAAAACUCCGGCUCGUGAUCGGCUCGCAACUUAAUCGAGCUAGCUCGUGUUCGGCUCGUUAGCGCCGCUGCUGAAAUUCGCUGCCGCCGGUGCUGUCGAAGUUCGCUGCUGCUGCCACUGCCGUUGCCGUUGCCGCUGCCGAAGUUUGCUGCCGCCGACGAAGUUCGCUGAUGGGGGUUUGCGAACGGCAAAGAAUCCGCUGCCGAGGAUGUGCGAACGGCGAAGAGUGCGCUACCGGCGUGCCGCCAUCUGGGGGUGUGCGAACGGCGAAAGUGCACUGCCGGGUGUGUGAAGGGUGAAAAAGUUGGGAAAAAAUAACUAGGGUUAGAAAUAUAGACAGUUAAAAAUUUAUGUAAUAUUAUCCAUUAGAUUUUAAUCUAACGGUUGAAAUUAUAAAUAUAAAUAGGCCUCUUUUAUAGAUAAGUUGAAUUUUAUUGUUAAAUUGGGUACAAAUUAAAAAAUAAUAAUAUAUAUUGUAUAUUUAUAUGCAAAUAUAUUUAUAUAUUUAUAUAUAUGAAUAUAAUAUAUAUAUAAAAUUUAUAUUAAUAUAAAAUAAAUAUAAUCGAGCUGUUAUCGAGCUGAAUACGAGCGAGCUAACCCUAGCUCGUGUUCGGCUUGUUUAUUAAACGAGCUGAAAAAUUCAGCUCGUGUUCGGCUCUUUACUAAACGAGCGAGUCGAUCUCGAGCUCAUUUCGAGCCAACACGCAGCUGGCUCGCGAAGCGACUGGAUUGCCACCCCUAGUUGACACUCAACCACAUAGAUUUUUUUUUUUUUUUAAUAAAAACAAAAGUCGACAACAAUGCCAAAUGAGGCCAAAAAGUCUUUCUUAUUUGUACCUUAUGUUUCGUUACAUUUUGUUUUCAGGACCUAGCAAGUUCUAUUAAAAACUUAAUGGUUUCCACUGAAUAUUCCAUCGGGAUUCAAAAUAUUGCAUCGGCAAAGUUACAAGUAUUGUCAAACUUUGACCGAGUGUGGAGAUGUCAAUGGGUAUGGAUACCUGAACUUUUAUCUGAAAACAAAUCCAAAUGGGGUGGUUUUAGUCGAAUCUAAACAGGGAUGGUUUGGUGUUGCAGGAAGAAAUUCAAAACUGAACAACUGUGGAUAUGGUUAUGGUUGUGUGUGUGUAUAUAUAUACACACACACACACACAAAGUCACCCUUCUUAAUUUAAUAGGCUCUGUAUCAAGAUUUAUACUCCAUUUUGAGUAAACAGAUUUUGAUAUAAUGGUUCUAUAUCAAAAUGUUAAUUAUAAUAUCGUCUACUUAUUGAGGAUUCAAAUUUUGUUCUGAACUUGAGUAUAAUUUUGCUUAUUGAUAGAGUUGUGAUUUGGUUUUGGGUUGACAGUUUUGUUUCAGGUUUGGGUUUUUCAGGAGAUAUAUAGUUAUAGUUUGGGGUUUUAAAACUGAACGAUUAUGGUUUCAAUUUUGGUUGGCUGGUAUGGUUUUGGUAUGUGUAAAUAGUCAACUGACCUCACCAGUUGACCUCCCUAACUGAGUUGUAUUUUAAUAAGAAAUUAUAAAAAGUUAGGUAUUGAAAUUGAAAUCAAGACUUUCAGAGUUCAGGUAUCCAUUUCAAAUUUUUUAAUAGUUCAAUUUUUUUUUUUUUCAUUUUCUAAUAAUUCCAUUCCUUCUCAGAUCCUCCAAAUUUUGGAGCAUGUAAUUUCUUUCCCUUGCCGACUUAAAUGCUGUUGAUACAAAAACAGUCUUCUAACAUGGUUUCUUGGCCAUUUAAAUCUUGUGUGUAUGAUGAAGAUUCCCAGUCUGUAAAAUUUUAACAGGGCCACUUCAACAGAAUUUGAUACGAAGACUGACCAACUAUUGAUGAUGAGGUGAGUUUUACUUUUUUGUACCAACAAUUUUUUUUUUUUUUUGGAGACAAAUCAGGGUAGUAACACUAGAGUCAGAGGGUUUACAUUGCACCAAAGUAAAUUUUUGUAUUUCAAUUUGAAAUGAACAAAAGUUAGUGAGUUUUUCUGCAACAUAACAGAAACUAUAGUUUGGGCUUCCUGUACUUUUCAGUCUGUUCUCUCACAUUCAAUCAUCUCAUAGUAGUUCUUCUGCUUGCAGCGGCGAAGCAGAUAUUACUAUUCAAGAUACAAGAGUUUUUCACUUCAAACAUUAUUAUUCACAUUCGAAGCAUACACAGAACUAUCUAUGUGUACACGAGUAGCGCCUUUCUUGUUGUUAUCCAUCACACCAUACAUAAGCAGUAGCACAUUUUGAAGUUUUUCUCUACAGGUGUUUGAUGGGGGUCUAAGGGCACUUUUUCUUGCUGCUGCGGGUGGUCAAGCUGGCAUAGCAGGGGCACUGAUCGUAAUUCCCCGAAGUGCCGGGCGGGACGCAGCUGCAGCGCGCACAGCACGUUUUACAGGCUCUCAUGCAGUAAUUCAGCCUCGAUGAUAGCUGGCACCGCCCGCUGCAUGCUGAAUUGCAGUCUGAAAAUGCCAUCAGGUAGACAUUAAACUCUUCCAUGAUUCCAUCAUUAUGCUUGCAUAGCUUACAGUAGGGAAUAUACCUUUGACUGAUAUUAAAAUUGUAGAAAAUCGAAUAUUCAGGUUUGUGUCAUUAUUAUGCUUAGAAUGAGAAGGAUUAGGUCCUUAAUGAAAGGAUUAGGUCCUUAAUGAGAGUAAACUAAAAAAUAGUCUUAAAUAUUGGUAGAUAAUGCUAGAGAAUUUGGCUCUUUUUUCUCCUGGUUCUAAUGUUUGUCAGUUAUAGUUGCAAUUAUUCCUAUUUUAUAGAAAAUAGAGAGGGUGAUAUAAUUUUUCUCAUUGUAUUGCUGCAAAUGACAAUGCAACAAAUUUCUCAUUGACUCUUAAAUAAAUGGUGAGUUUAUUUGUUAUUGAAGGCAUUUUAAAAUAUUAAGGAUGUUAGGCAUCUAAUCAAUUAUUAAGGAUGCCUCAGCUAUGUUUUGCUGCCUUGCAUGUCUACAUUAGAGCCGUCGAUGAGCCGAACACGAGCAACCUCGUCAAAACACCGAGCUGAAAAAUCUAGCUCGUGUUCGCCUUGUUUAUUAACAAGCCGAACACGAACUGGCUCACGAACAACAAGUUAGAUUCUCAGCUCUACAACUGGGCGAAAAGUUGAAAAAAAAAAAGAAAAUUAGAAUCAUAUUCUAAUAGUUGAAAUUCACAAAUAUUGGUCUCUUUACAUUUGGGUUGGCCUAAAAUCCAAAUAGUAGAAUAUAUAUAUAUAUAUAAUAUAUUAUAUAUAUAUAUAUAUAUAUGUAGAGUUGAGCUAGAAUAUCUCCAAAGCACCAUGAAGGUGGUCUUUUGAGUUUUUAGCCAUUGGUUGGGAGAGAUGUGAGGCUGAGAUGAUAGUAGUAAGGUGGUGUGUAGGUGAAAUAGUGUUUGAUCCAUAGGCUAUUAGUAAUCAAGGAGUAGAUCCAAGGGUUAGAAACUUAGAAGCACAAGGGGUUUGGUGGUCUAAAGUAUUCUAGCUCAAUUCUAUACAUAUAUAUAUAUAUAUUAUAUAUAUAUAUAUAUAUAUAAUUGAGCUCCUAUGUUUUUAAAAGUACCAAGUUAUUGAUGCUUGUAGAUUUUUGGCCAUUCUGAUUAAGAGAUGUGAGGUUAGGAUGAUGUGGGUCUCUCCUAGGGUUGAGUGGGUGGUUGGUUGAAUAGUAUAAUCUAACGCGUGAAAUGAUCAAGACGUAGAUUCUAACGGUAAAAAUUCACAACGCUCCAAGAACUUGGUGUGUUUUACAAGCACCAAUAGCCGCAGACUCCAUAUAUAUAUAUAUAUAAUAUAAUAUAAUAUAUAUAUAUAUAUAUUAUAUAUAUAUAUAUAGAGUAGGGCUACUAUACUUAUGAGUAUUGGGCCCUUUGUACUCAUAACUUGUUUCGAUGAUGGAGCUCCGAAUCGACGAUCCAUCUGUUAAAUAUGAUCAAGAGAUUUGAACUUCUAGAAAAUCAUUCGUAAUUUUCGAAAUCAUAUAAAGUCCAUCAAGCGGGCAUAAAAUGAACGGUCAAAAUCGAACGAUGUCUUAAAAAUGGAUGAUCGGAUCCUUCAAUUUAAGAUCAGAAGUUAUUGAUCUUUAUCUAGUAGUGAUAGAAUUUUCUAUAAAAAUUCAACCUAUUCGGAUUCUUUUGCACCGUUAAACUAGCAAGUAUUCCAUACCGGCUAUUAAAAAUUGUCAAUUUUGUGAGCUUUUGAUUGUAAGGUAAAUGAUGUCGAAAAAUUAUGAAAUUUGAUUUCUAAAUGUUUCAAAUGCUCUAGAUAACGUUUAACGGUGUGGAUCGUCGAUUCGGAAGCUCUAUCAUCGAAAUAACUUAUGAGUACGAGAGCGAUCGUACUCAUGAGAGUAGAGUAGCCGGACUCUCUCUCUCUCUCUCUCUCUCUCUAUAUAUAUAUAUAUAUAUAUAUAUAUAUAUAUAUUUAUUUUAGCUAUAUCGAGCCGAACACGAGUGAACUAACCCCAUCUCGUGUUCGGCUCGUUAAGAUUUUGAGCUGAAAAAUUUAGCUUGUGUUCGGCUUGUUUAUUAAACGAGCGAUCGAUUUUGAGUUCAUUUCGAGUGGAAGACGAGUUAGCUCGCAAACAGCAAGCUGGACUGCCAGCCCUAGUCUGCAUGAGUUCUUGUAUGUGUGCGCAUGUACGAUUAGAACAUUUGUGUGUUUAAUCUUUGAUUAGAACAUUAAUAUUUGAAUCUAAAGUACUAAGUAGUCACAGCCGGAUGGUUAAGAACCUGAUAUUCAAGUUGUUAGUGGAUUAGUUGGAACACAUUAAGUAGCAAAUUGUGGUGUUUAGAAUCUGAAAAAUAAGCCUUAAGAUGCUGAAUUAACUAAUUAGGAUAUAAAAAGAUGAAUUCCAACCCAUUGUUGCUAGGAGUGUCCUGGCCCCUUUGCUUGCCUGAAAUGAAUCAUAUGAAAUAAUCAUGAAUAAACAAAUGUACAUUGACAUAUGAGCGAAGGAAAUACAAUAAAAAGGUCUGCAAUCUGCAAAUAAAAUUAUGAUAUUUUCUUAUACUAGUAAGGGUUCGCUUGCGAUGCACGAGUCUACAUGUAAAGAUAAGUUUAACCUACGUGAAAUAGAAAUAAUUAGAGAACUAGCUAAUAAUAUCCUGAGGUAGAAUAGCUGCUAAUCCAAAUUCCACUAAAACAGUGUUUAGUUAUGGACAAAAAUUCUAGAAUUAUUUUAAGAAGAGUUGAGGAUGAGGGAGAGUGGAUCAAAUCCAACUCGACUUGAAUUAGUUGAACAGUUGAAGUAAUUUUGGCCAGUAAGCUUAUUAUCUGUUUUUUGCAUGAGUAAAGUUACUCUCAUCUUCCAUGAAAGAGUAAUCUCCAAUAUAUAUAGAAGUUGAAAUAGCUAUUGAAUUAUAAUUCUCUCACAUACUAACCAGUUGAUGCUCAACUUCUUCAUGUGCUUCAACAGCAAGAUGGUGGAGAGUAAAAGAGAAAGCUAGGAGAAGAGUAAGUAGAAUGAGUUGAGUAGUAGCCAUGGCAAUAGAGAGGAGAAAGAAGUAUAGAAUGGACUUUUUGUUAGUGGGGAAGUGAAUGGUGUGGUAUUUAAAAGAGAGUGGGAGCGGUGGUAACCAUGAUGAAGCUUCUGCUGUAGGGUUAUGGGAUGCACCAAAAAAGUAGAGAGGAUGAAGCAUUCUAUAUUUGUGCACUAGGGUGGCAAAUUUAGCAAAUAGGAUAAGUGGGGCCCUUUAGAUUGUUUAUGCUUUAGAUGAUGGGAGGCCACUUGUAGUGGUUGCUAUAAUUUUUUGCUUAGCUUGUGAUGAUUGCUUGGGUCUAACUCAUGGGGUGGAGAAUUAUGCUUGCUUGAGAAAGAUGUUCUUGUAAUUUGAUCUUAAAUUAAAUUUAAUAGGGACGAAAAUAUUAGUUCUGCUAUCGAUUACGACGGUACCAAGAUCUACUGUUUAGCCAGCCAUGAGCUUCAGUUCUUUAAAACUAGUUUCCCCUCGAAAAUUGUUCGAAGUUGCUCUUCGCAUCCCCUAAUUUUUUUUUAAUAUUAUAAUAUCGUGUUUCAUGCAUUUAUUUUGUAUUUUGAACUAUUAGGCAUUUUCUGUAUCAAAUUUUAGAUGACAUUUUAUAAAAAUUAAACUAUAGAUUGCAUGAUAUUAAGAAUUUCAAAUGGCUCGCUUAGGGUUCGAGCUUGCUCGAUUUGAAGUUAGGCUCGCUCCAGCUCGGCUCGAAUUAAUUUCAAGCUGAACUUGAGCCUAAAUUUAGGCUCAAAAUAAUUUCAUGCCAAGCUUGAGUUGAGGUAAGCUUGCUAAAGCUCGGCUCGUUUCCAUCCCUAGGGAAGGCCGACCAGAUCAGGGCGUUGACCAAGCCGGUUUCUUCUUCGGGACGCGAGUCGGCUCCUAGGAUGACCCUUGAGUGCGCCACUAGCGAACCAAGUGAAUCGGUUGAUGAGGGAUUGGCUCAACUGGGUUCUUCUGCCACUAUUCACAAUUGACCCAAAACAGACUCGGCUGAAUGAGCCAACCGUUAUAUUUAUCGAGAAAGCAGAAUUAUAAGUGCUGUUAUAGAAAUAAAGUCUACUCCUACUUAACCACGCCGUUAACUAUGCUCUUAAAAAGAGAAGUUAACAAGAAAAUUAUAGACUAUCUCUAAGAAAACUGUAAAUGUCGAAAAGAAAGAAAUUGAAAUUUGCUGUGAUCUCUUGCUCGUGUGAAUGACCCAUUUUAUAGACCUGUUUUUUUCCUAUUUAUAACGAUAUCUUCUCCCGCUUGCCAUUAUUGGGUUAAUCUCAUCGUGGAGGUUUCUUCGGCUAUAUUCUGAUUUCCUUAGGUUAUGCUUCGGCCGACUUCUUGCUGGUCACGAAAUCCUUCCUCCACGUCUUCAACCACUCUUGCCUAAACCACCUUUCCAUUUUAGGCGUUCUCCUCCCGGCUCCGGAUGUACCACGUGUCGCUUUCUGUCUCGCUUCCGUCACUUUACUCAUAUGGCUUGGGCUGCUCUACCAAGUGGCGCCAUUUUUAUGGCGCUAAUGCAAUAUAAAGUAUCAAGCUCCAGUUGCAUUUGCCUUUAUCCAAUUAUAAGUGGAAGAUUCUAAACUUUAUUGCUGUCAUGUACUUUUUCUUUAGAAUUCAUAAUGAUACCUAUAUUUAUGAUCUACAAUGAAAAGCUGCCCUAGAAACUUAAUCACCUGCAUUAUUGAUUACAUACCAUGCUUGCGCACUAUGAUUAAAAAAAAAGGAAAGAAAAGAAAAAAAUGCAUAGGACUUAUCUGAACUAUGAAUUAUUUUGAUUUGAAUACUCAAUCUUUCAAAAUUUUGAUUUUAGUAAUCAUCCUUUCAUUUGUUUGAUUUGAGUCAGUCAACGGCACUUUGACUUCAAAUUUUGAAUGUGCCGUUUAUCUUUAUAGGAAUUUGUUAAAGUAAUUAGCUUAAAUUUUGAAGUCAAAGUGCAGUUGGCUGAUUCAAGUCAAACAAAUUGAAAGGUUGGGUAGUAAAAUCAAAAUUUUAAAGAAUUGGAUAGUCAAAUUAAAAUGGUCCAUAAUUUAGGUAAGUUUUGUACAAUGAUUAUGGUGGGUAACACUUAUAUCUUCUAAUGGUUUGUAUACACUCCAAAAUCAUAAUUUGUAUCGUAAAUUUGCACCUUAUGUACGAUAUGUGGUCAGAUGAAAGAGUAGUAAUGCUGUAUGUAUCUUAAAAAGAUACUUUGAUGAAUCAGCUUUGAACACGUAAUACCGAGUAAUUAUAUUCGCUUUAGAGGGCUAAUGUGUGUGUCAAAUAUUAUGUUCAAAAUUUUGAAAUCCAAUCGAGGCCCAUGGGAUUUGUCGAGUUCGAUAGGCAUUGCAAAUGCCUAUCAUUCGCAAAUAUGCUCUAAACUAAUCGCUAGCAGUCUUGCCUAUAAUGUUGUGAUAUUCUGUCGUAUAUAAACUAUUAUUUGUGAAAGCGAAACGAGAAGAAAUAGUAAAUCCUUUAAGAAAAGGAACUACUUUUUCGCUUCCUAUUGUAAUAAUCAUUUGUUCUUGCACAUUAACCAUUUGAGAAUUUGCUCUUCUAUAGGUAUACAUGUGGGAUACACUUUACAUUGUGUCAUUAAACCCACCAAGAAGGGGUAAAUUGCACCCCAAAGUCCUCCACCCCUUUUAGCAAACUUUUUGCUUGGUCCUCAAUCAUUCAUUUUUUACAAUUUGGAUCGUAGUUAUCGUCCCGCAUUUCAUUUUUUCCGUCCAUUUAACGAAGUUUACGUCGAAAUGCAGAGGUCGGGGAUCAGAUUGUCAAAAUUGAAAGGCUGAUGACUGAAACUGAAACAAGAAUAGUCAGAUGCACGGAGGAGGAACGACGAGGCCGCUCGAGACGCCACCGACGACGUUGGAGCACGAAGCCAGCGCCGGCACGCUGUGCUCGAUGUACUUCAAAUUGAUGUCUCUCAGCUCCACAUUUUGGCAUGGCACAGCUUUGCUGCAUAAGAGCUCAACUGCAACCUUUGAUGUUGAGAUCCCUCUUAUGUUUCUGAAUUUGAUGUUGCUCAACUUAACCAUUGAGGGGAACUGCAAUUAUCAUCAAGCAUUCAUUGUUAAUUUAGUUUAGCAAAUGAUGUAGAAAAUACUUCGUAGUAAGACUACACAUGUAAUUUGAUGAUUUUACAGGGAGAGUUGAACUUCUGUGCUGUGCCUUUAAAUGCACAGGAGUAUUUGUAUUUGUGGCUUUUUAGCUGUCAAAUCGUCUUAAGAUCUGUGCAACACUAUUAACGGUGCGUUCCAUUAAGUCACCUUUGUUAUUGCUGCAUGGAUUUUAAGAUAGUCCGACGGCUAAAAAAUUACAAGCACGUUGAGCUCGUGAGCUUUUAAAAGCACGGGAGCUCAACUCUUGCAUGGAUAUAUAUAUAUAUAUAUAUAUAUAUAUAUAUAUAUAUAUAUAUAUAUAUAUAUAUAUAUAUAUAUAUAUAUAUAUACAAAAANNNNNNNUAUAUAUAUAUAUAUAUAUAUAUAUAUAUAUAUAUAUAUGUGUGUGUGUGUGUGUGUGUGUGUGUGUCCGAAAAAGAAUCUAGUCUCACCGUCGCGUCGCAAGAUUCGUAAGGACAGUACUUCUGAUCAAUGAUGAUGGGAUUGCGCACGUCCCGCAUCAAGAUGUCCUCGAACAUGAAGUUCGAGGCGGAGCUGCGCGGCGAGCUCUGCCACGUCUUGAUCCGGACACCGUUUGUGGUGCCCGUCAGGGUGCAGUUCCUCACGCGGAGCCCGGAGACGUCUUCCUCGCCCGCGUACUUCCCGAGGCUCCCCACGCUUAUGCCGUGGCCCGGGCCGCAGAACACUUUGGAUAUCGAGAUGUUCCGGUUGCCCGGGCCGACCGAGACGCAGUCGUCGCCGGUUGCGAUGUUCGAGUUUCUGAUGGCGACCCUCGUCGAUCCGCCGAUGUGGAUGCCGUCGGUGUUGGGGCUGUUUUCUGGGGCUUUGAUCUGGAUGUGGUGCAGGUUGAUGUUGCUGCACUUGAAGAUGAUCAUGUGGAAGAAUUUGCUGUUCAAGGAUGUGAGGCUCCUGAUGGUUGCAUUUGUCACAUGCCCAAAUUUUAUGGACUGGAUCAUGUUGAAACAGAGGUAGGGUUAGGGUUUUGUUAGUUAGUUCUCCUUGUGAGGUAGUUUUUUUUUUAAAAAAAAAUUCUCAAGAAGGAAUAUGAAGAAAAAUUAUUGUAAAAAAGAGAUUGAUUUUGGGUUAUUUGCUGUUGUUGUUAUUGUUGUUGUUGUUGUUUACAUAUGUGAGUUUAUGGAUGCAAACUUGACGGAUCUGGGGUGGGAGGGGUCCCCCUAACUUCCACUUCACUUAUUGUUGGAUUGGGGUGGAUUUGGGGUGGAUUUGGGAUGGGUGGAUUUGGGAUUGGGGUGGAUUGGGGUGGAUUUGGGAUGGGUUAAUUUUGUUGGAUUGGGGUGGAUUUGGGAUGGGUUCCCCUAACUUCCACUUCACUUAUUGUUGGAUUGGGGUGGAUUUGGGAUGGGUUAAUUUUAACUUACCGCUCCAUUUGGAGUGAAUUGGGGCAUGAGCGUUUUUUUUACAGAGUACGAAAGUGAUAUACUUUAAAUCACAGGGUAUUGAAGUGAGAAAGUGCGAAAUCACAGGAAUGAUAUUUGAAGUUUUUUCUAAAAAAAAAAUUGAAGGGUAAUAACAGAAAGAUGGGGGUUUAAGAAGCCAGGCAAAUCUUACAAUGGGGAGAGUCUUGCAGUCUUUCUUUUGAGGGCACUUGUUUUGAGGCCAGGCUGCUGCACCUUGCCCAUCAAACAUACCACCCCCUGUGAGGAGCAGCCCAUCAAUUUGCUCAAACUUGAUCCACUGCUCAUCAUUGAAGAGGCUCAACUCCUUUGGGGCCUUCAACACCCCCUUGAUUUGCACCACCACCACAUGACCCUUGCAUGGCCCCUUGAACACCAAUGGCUUGACCAUGUACACCCCCUUUGGAACAUAAACCCUAGGUCUCCCCUCUUGUGUGCAUGCCUUCUCCCAUGCUCCAAGUAAGGCCUUCCUUACAAAAUGGUUUGAAUCAAAAUUCAAAAACAACAUUUUGUAAUCAAUGGAGUUAUGACAUGUUUAGCAAGAUGUUUUAAAGUCGCUUCUUCAUUUCGGGAGGUAGGAAUUAUAUAUAUCUGAUUAUAAACAGUCUCGAGCUUCUGCUGUGGGAAAAAGCUAGCUGCAAUAUAUAAACUCUAGGGCAUCGCACGAAUCAUUCUAUUAGUUACUAUCAUAUGAGCUAUAAUUUGAACCAAACUUUUGGCUCAAAAUUUUAUAUGGAAUUUUCUUAAAAACACAAAAAACUACAUUCUAGCAUUGAAGAUUGAAACUUCAGCCAAAAUUUGCAAUUUGCUUACCUGAGAACUAUCCGAUUCGCCAUCGGCGACGGCUCCGAAAUCUCUUACAUUGAAAACAUUGUUAGCCUGAGUUGCAUCAACAUUACAAAUGGGCAGAAGCAGAAGCAACAACAAGAAUGCCAAGAAAGGCAAUGCCAUUUCUCUCAUGGCCUUCUUCAAGCUCCAAUUCAUGAAACCACAAGAGAAAUAGCUGAUGGAGACCCUCCACCAUUUUUGGGUUUCUUUUUAUAGUUGGUGAGAGAGGGGAGUUUCUCAACUGGUGUUGUUAAGGGGUGCACUCUUUUGGUGUAUUGUUAUUUUCUCUUUUUUUUUUUUAUGUUUGGUUUUACUAUUCAUAGGAUGUCCUCUUGUCAUGUACCCACAUUUUUCUCUUCUUGGAUGCCUAAAUUUUCUCUCCUCUUGUAGUUGGUGUGGUGAUUUUUGUAACCAUUGGUUAGGGACUCAUAGAUGUUAUUUUUAUUUUUACUUUUUGUUUUUUUGAGAGAGAGAGAGAGAGAGAGAGAGAGAGAGAGAGAGAGAUGUAACAAACUAUCAGUUUCGUUCAUUUUGUAAAAACGAAACUAAGCUAGAAAUGUCAAGUAAUUAGGUUUUAGUCUGGGAUCUCGGAUACCAAUUAUAAAACCCUUAGCCAAGAUACGAUCAGUUCUCAUCAAUGUAAGUUAGAACCUUAACCAAAUGCAGUUAUUUUGAUACUUUUAAAAUUCGUAAGAAAAAAAAAAAUAAAAACUCUUUGGGACUCUGAUCCUCCAAUGCUGUAGAAUGGAGGUGGGAACAUUUAUUGUAGGAGCAUUCAAUGACAGUGAUGUAAUAUCUUAAUUAUUGUCAUAUCAUCAACAAUAAAGGGCCGUUUGGUUGCAUAUAGUUGUAAUUACAAUGCAGUUGUAAUUGCAUGUAAAUACAAAUUUGGUGUUUGGUUUGAUAUAUUUAACUCCAACUGCUACAAUAGGAACUGUAGGAGGAGGCCCAACUGCAGCAGUUCGAACUACGUCCAAAUUGGCCGCAGUUCCAAUUGCAGCAGUUGGAAAGAGUAACUUUAAAUAAAAAGUAUGCUUACCUCCUCAAUAUUUUUUAAACAAAAAUUAUUAUUAUUAUUUUUUACAUUGGAGGUAAUCUCACUAUUAUAUAUAUANAUAAUAUUGAAAAAUAAAUACUAGUCAAUUACCAAAUUUGAUAAACUCUAAACAAAAAUUUUUUCCUUAUUUAAUAUUGUUACUUAUCAAAUUACAUAGUGGCUAAUCUGACAAGUAACAAACCUUCAUAAAAUUGAAUUUAAAAUUUAAUUUGAGCUUAAACUUUAUAAUUAUAUACAUUAAAUUUAAAUUUAAUUCUAAUUUUCAGAAAGAAAAAAUUUAUAUUUAAAUGAGUAGUAUAUUUCAAUUCAAAUUGUUAAUUCAAUAUUAAAAUAACAUGAAAGUUCAAAAAUAUUAAUCUAUUUUAAAUUGUAAGUUAUGUUGUACUUAUAAACCCAACUUUUGUUAUUUAUUUUUUUUAAAAAAGGUUUCUAUUUUUUAAAUUAAAUUCAAAUUGUUUAUUCGAUGGACGACAGUGAAAACAGUAUUAAAGUUCAAAAAUAUUGAUCAAAAAUAAAUUUUAUAUUCAGAUUUUAAUUUAUAUUUUAGUUAAAAAAUAAAUUUUAUUAAUUAUUUAAACUAAAAGUUUCUAUGUUUGAAAAUUAACUUUAAAUUAUAAAUUUUGAAUUUAAUUUGAGCUAUUAUUAUUUCAAAUUAUCUUUAAAAUGGUUUUUACCUUGUUUAAAUUUAAAUAACACAUUAAGUCUAUUUGACUUGGAUCAUCGGAUCACCACGCAUGGCUCAUUUGGAAUUUAAUUUUUAAUUUUUCUCUCAAAAGAAUAUAUAUUUAUGUAUAAAUACAGGCGUAAUCUUGACCUGCACCUAUUAGAUCAAAUUGACUUUUAUAAUUUAUGUCUAAAUAGAAGCUAAUUUUGAUCAUAUAUAAUAUAUUAACUCUAAAACAUUUUGGAUAAAUUUCUAGCUUUUUUAUGGUUUAGUUCAUUUUUUACUUUGACACUCCAUGGUUUUAAAAAUUUAUUUUGUGCCCAGGCAAAAUUUACCGUAUUUUUCACUUUGCCGCCAUAUUGUUCCUUAAAAAUUUUACUUUACCACCUAUUUUGAUAUAGAGUAUUUUUGAUAAAAUAAAAAUUUAAUUAGUUGGGUUAAUAUUACACUGAUUGAGCUAUCCAAUCAAAUUAUCGUAACUCGAACAUGUCAACUUUAAUUUGGGUCGGCUAUCCAUGUUCAAAAGUUAAAAUAUUGAUAAAUUGCAUUCUUUCGAAUUGAAUUUUAGCUUUGAUCAUCUAACAUUCGUUGCCGAUUCCUCCCUGAGAUCUUUGCCGCCAUCGAUGUCGGCAGAACUCCAAAAUCAACGUCGUAGCACCACAAUAUUGAGAGGAAAAAUUAUAGGUAUAGAUUAACUAUUACUUGAAAGAUGGAAGCAAAAUGGACAGGGGUUUGGUUUGGAAGAAGAUGGGAUGCUGUGGAUGGGGAAUUUACAAAAAUAGAAUAUUGGACGAUGAAAAUGGAGAAAGAUGGAUUGUUCUAGAUUUACAAAAAUUGGGACAUUAUGAGGAUGGGAAUUUACCAAAACGCCCUUGGUGCUAACUCCGCGUAAUGAGAACAGUACUUUGCCCUUGGUAAGGGGGUGACCAGUACCGAUGGCAACAAGAGCUGGCCACCCCCUUUAAAACAAUGCAUCGCUACUGUUCAUUUAAAAAAUUCAAGGGUUAAGAUUUGUUGGCGUAUAGGAGCAUUGUUCUAAAGAUCAGAGCAUACUAAAGACGUUAAAAUUCUAUAAUACUGGAAAUGACUUGAACUUUGGAUCGACUAGGAUGGGCGCUGAAGUUGUGAUAUGGCUGUAAAUCAAGUUUAUUAAAAGUAGAAAUAUUAAUUUGUCAUCUAUUACGAAGACACCGAGAAGAUCCACUAAAUACCCAUGGGAUAAAAUUCUCGAAAAACAAAUCCAUUUCGAAGCAGUCCAAAGUCAAUAGUUUGUUGAUUGAGUAAACGAAAAGAAGGUCAAAAUGGAUGGUUUCUAGAAAUGAAGUUCCAUCAAAACUACAGAUUGUCUCUAGAGCAGGUGGCAAAAGACCUAACGGUUGAUACUUGAGGUUUCAAGUUUGAAGCCUAGAUAGCAAGAUACCCUUUUGUCCUAAAAGAAUAAUUAAUUUUUUUUCUUUCCAUCUCAUGCAUCUAAAUACUAUCUUUCCUAGGUACUAGUGAUUGCAUUGGCAUUAAAAAAUAAAAAGAAAAAUUGGGAUAAUAUCUAAUGUGUCCUUUAAAACUUCAAAUAUAUCUUAUUUACUUUUGGAGGCUCAAAAUAUUCUUAUUGAUUUUAAAAAAAUUCUUUCAAAUAUUCCCAUUUUUUCUAGGGUUUACUAGUAAGAUUGGGUUUAGAAGCGUAUAUUGGUAGUUUCAGAAUAAAUUUGAAAAUUUUGAAUAAUAGUCAGCGGUACUAAAUAAGCAAACGCCCCUUAAUAAUUUAAGUUUAGUAGUAAUUAUGUUAGAUGAUAAUCAAUGUAAGUAGCAGGCACACUCUAGAUAUGGAUUAUAUUUUUUUGAUGUUUAAUGCUCCCAAAAACUCAUGACUCUAUCAUAUUUUCUUCUUUUUAUGUGGUUUUCAUAAAAAAAAUAUUUCUUGAUCCCAAAAAUAUGUCUCAAUCUCAAAACUUUUCGCUUUUCGCUUUCCUUUUUUGGUAACCAAUUCUAUUUUGGUUUUAUUGGAGACAUGUGAAUAGAUGAUUGACGACUUUCUAGAAAACAAAUUUGAUGAUUUUUCAACAUUAUUCAUCUGCUGUUCAAGUGGCCUCACAAUCAACAAAUUUCAAUGACAUAUAUAAGGUGUAUUUAUUGCUAGGUAAACAACAUUAAAAAAAAAUCAUAAAAAUUAAUUUCUAGAAAGUUUAGGAGCACAAAUGAUGUUGAACACUGUGGAUUAUUGAUUCAUCAGCACCAUCAUCGAAAAAUGACAUGGGAGUAUUGAGGAAUUGGUACUUCUAAAAGUAUCCUAGCUCAUUUCCAAAAUCUAUGUGCGAAAUAGCAGCUAAGCAUGUUCCCAGUGUUAUGUUUGGGAAACCUCACAGAUGACCAAUUAAUUUUGGAUAAAAACGUACAAAGUUUAUCUGAACCAUGGAUCAUUUGGAAUCGACUAGUCAACAGUUCUUUGACUUAAAAAUUUGCGAUGAUUAUUUACUUUAAUAAAUUUAUAGUUGUAAGAAUUGAAUAAAGCAUGCGAAUGUCCAAUAGAUUAAGAGGGUUAGGUUUGUUAGGGUUGAAGUAGUUCGAGGAUGUGUGAUCUCCCGGGAAAGCGGCGCAUUAUAGUCACCGGCUGAACUUCAGUCUUAUUUGUCCGGUUGUUCUGAUUCUGUAUCAUUUUGUUUCAUGCAACUUAUUUUUUAUUUACUAAAUAUUGUUAGUAUUUUGAUUUAAAACAAGUGAUUUAAAACUUCUUUAUAUGCUCAUAUGUUUUAAAACUUCAAUUUGGCCUUUGGACUUUGUGGGCAGCCCACUGUCAAUGGGCCUUGCCUGGAAGCCCAAGCUUUGGUCUCUUUUCAUGUGGUGUUUAGUCCCACAUUGGAAAGAGACCCUCACUUGCUCAAGAGACCCUCACUUGCUCUGGUUUAUAUUCUACUUUAUUCUCAUUGUUACUACUUGGGAAGUGAUGAGAGUGGAGCUCUCGUCUAAAUACAUGCACGCGCGCACGGCACGAGCCGGGCCGGCGGCGCGCGUGAACCCGGUUCAUUUUAUUUUUGUUACACUUUUCUUUUAUUAUUUUAUUUUUGGCCUUACCUGGAUUAGGUCCAGAUUUGGUCCAGUCGAAGGGUCGCACCUCGGGACUCAACCAGUCCCAACGGUCUACCUCGGGAAGGUGGUCUUCCCGUUGGAACCCUUCUUUUGCUCUCCUAUUUACUAGGGUGAGUAGCUGGGUUAGAACGGUGGUGACAUACAGAAACCCUAGCCUGAGUUUCUCCCCUUUUCUCUCUUCUCCUUCUUCUUCACUGUUUUGCUGGAUCUCUGAAAAGCUGUGACGGUUCGUUCUUGCGCCACCCUGAAGCCGUGCCGACGGGGUGGACGAAGGUCGUUGUAUCGCUAGGAGUGAUUGCCGGCGCCUCGUACGUGGAGGGGCAAUCUUGCUUCUAGGACAGUGCAAUCGCACGCCUCGACUCACAGGCUCCAUCUAAUCCUUUAUUCUCUAUAGUUUUUAUUUAUUUCGUUCUUAAUCAACGUUUCUAAAAACAGUGGAUAAGUUGUUUUCAAACAAAAUUGUUUAUACAAAUAUUUGACUAAAGAUUUCGAAAGAGAACUAAUUUUUUCCAACAAAAAUAACACCCCUAUAGUCUCACAUCGGAUGAAAAAAUAAUUCUGAUUAGAAUAUAUAAGGCUUUACACACUAGUAAUGAUAACUGGGCUUAAGUAUUUUGGACCGAUGGUUUAGACCUAACGAGUUAUUAUUUCUAGCGGGUCGGGUCGUUAUACUAUCCAACGAGUUAUUAUUUCUAUCAGGUCGGGUCGUUAUACUAAACUUCGAUUUUUUUUUUUUUUUUUACCCUCUAUUGCUUUUUCUAUAUGAACAGAACAAUUCCCUUAAUAAAGGACACAGUAUCUGCAAUUUACUUAAUUUUCCCUUUCAUUGCUUGAGAAACUCAUAAACAGAUUAAAACAAUUUGCAGCUAACACCCUACAUAAAAUAAGCUGCUCUAUAAUUAAGUUGCUAAUUUAACCUCUCUCUGGUAAUUGGCCAAGUGAAAGUAGUUAACUUAUAAUGCAAUAUUUAGAACAUUUCCAAACAUAGGCAGUGUUUUUGUAUAGCAAACACACCCAAAAAAUAACAGAAGAAGUUUUGAGCACAAACAAGUCUCCAAUUCCUUCCUUCUAUAAAAGCCUGCAAAACUGAUAGCUGACAGAGGUGUAGCAGAUUAAGACAGACAUCCAAUUUGAAGAGAAGACAGCAUUCUGAUUAUUGAUUACAGAUGGGUUGUGGAUACAACAACAUUUUCGCAGUCUGCUCGCUGCUUCUGCUUGCAUUGGCUGCGAACUCGCAGGACUCUAGCCUGCAGUUCAAUGUGAAGGAUUUCGGUGCGGUCGCAGACGGUGUAACCGACAGCACGCAGGUAAGCAGUGCUAUGAUGGUGAUUCUUGUUUUAUAUAAUUUUGAAAAAAAACCUACAUUAAAUGCACUUAAUCAUCCUUGAUCGAUUAGAAAUACGUAAGAGGGUUACAUCGAUAAAAUCGAUGUUGUUAAAAAUGAAUAUCCGACGGAACUAGAGGGCACGCUAACGGAAAAAGUUAAGUACUGAUGGUGUAAGUUUUCGACCAUUCAGAUGAAAAAAUAUGCGGUUAGGAUGAAAGUGGUUACGGUUAGGUUGAUAGUGGGCCCCCUAAGGUUGAGUGGGUGGUUGGUUGAAUAGUAUAAUCUAACGGGUGAAAAUGAUUAAAAGGUAUAUCUAACGGCUAAAAACUUAUGAGUACAAUUGGCUCUAUACUCAUAAAAGUAUAGUAGCCGGACUCUAUAUAUAGGCUGGGGCUACUAUACUCAUAUGAGAAUAGAGCCCUUUGUACUCAUAAGUUUUCGACCGUUCAGAUGAAAAAAUAUGCGGUUAGGAUGAAAGUGGUUACGGUUAGAUUGAUAGUGGGCCCCCUAAAGUUGAGUGGGUAGUUGGUUGAAUAGUAUAAUGUAACGGGUGAAAAUGAUUAAAGAGUAUAUCUAACGGCUAAAAACUUAUGAGUACAAUUGGCUCCAUACUCAUAAAAGUAUAGCAGCCGGACUAUAUAUAUAUAUAUAUAUAUAUAUANAUUCCAUUGUUGCUACCAGUUUUUUAGCCCUUGGAUCAAUUCUUUUCAUAUUUCUAACCAUUGGAUUAAAUACUAUAACCCAGUAGGGACUACUCAACCCUAGGGGGACAACUCAUCUCUAACCGACUAAUAUCAUUCUGACCCUAUAAUUUUUCAUCCAAUGGUUAAAAACUUGAUAGUAACAAUAGAAUUUUGCUACUAAUAGUAGCCCAGUCCAACUCUCUCUCUCUAUAUAUAUAUAUAUAUAUAUAUAUAUAUAUAUAGUGUAGAGCUAUUGGAACCAAGAAUUUGAUGCUUCCGACUUUUUGACCUUUGGAUCAAGAAUUUUAUGGUUGGGAAGAUUGCAGUCCCCCUUAGAGCCGAGUGGUCCCCACAGGAUAAUAAUAUUAAUGCAAAUGUUAGAAAUGAUCUUGAUCUAAGAGCCAAAAAGUCGGAAGCACCAGAUUUUCUAUACUUCCGAUAGUAUAGUAGCUCUACUACUCUCUCUCUCUCUCUAUAUAUAUAUAUAUUCUUUCGAACUUUUCAUCACAUAGACAAACUUGUUUAGCGUCGUGGACGAUCAAUGACUAGUUUCUUUCCUUUUUUUUUGAAGGCAUUUCAAGCGGCGUGGAACGCUGCAUGCGCGGCGGAGGGGAAGCCGGGCCUUGUAAUCCCUGAAGGCGCCUACGUGGUCGGCCCGUUGAUGUUCAAAGGGCCAUGCAAGGGGUUCAUGGUGGUGCAACUGAGAGGCCAGCUACUAGCCUCGACCGAUCUCGACGCUUACUCGAAGAACUGGAUCGAGUUCCAGUACAUCACCGGCCUACUUGUCUCCGGCGGUGGCAGGCUCGACGGUCGAGGGGCUUCGGCUUGGCCUCACAACGACUGCCCUAAGCAGUCCCACUGCAGACUCCUGCCUAUGGUAAGUGACCGUCAGCCCGAGAAUAUAUAGUUGUAAAGUGAUAGUUCUACAACUGUUUGCAGUUGGACGUAGUCGCUUAGUGUUCGAGCUUUGUCCGGAGACCGAACGGUCGAGUGGCAUUUCCUCGGUGAGACAGCAAAUUCUUCACUAUGAACAUCUUCUCGUCGAGACAAUCUUCGCAUCUCGACUCGAUCAAGAUCACGCGGCCGGGCGACAGCCCGAACGGACGGCAUCCACAUCGGCGACUCGAGCCGAUGUCCGCAUCAACGAGCUCAUCAUCGCACGCGGGGACUGACGCGUGUCGGUCGGCCCGUGGAGGUCAAUGUGACCAUCUCCCGACGUGUUCUGCCGGCCGGGCCACGCUGGAUCACGUCGGAAGCUUAGGAGAAGAGUCCGGGCGAGAAGGACGUCGGUCGGCCUCACCGGUCAGGAACUCACUCUCACCGGCACAGACGAACGGCGUCAGAAUAAAGACAUGGGCAGUCGGACGCUCAUCGCCGGCGUCGGCCUCCGACUUUCCAUUUCGAAGACAUUGUCAUGAACAGAGUUACAACCCUCAUCAUCAUAGACCAAAAAUCACUGCCCAUUUUCUACUAUGUUCCCAAAGACAGUAAACAUCCUAACUCUACACCUCUUGUUUUUCCGCCUUCUGCUUAUCUGCGAUUUACAAUCAGCAACUGUAUCAUUUCGAAAUUUGAUUUACUGUCCACACUGCUUUCAAUUUAUUCAUUGAAAAUCAGUCAACUACACAGAAUUUGUAAUGGGCAUUUUUUUACUUUAAGUACUCUUUGCAACUAUAAAUUCAUAUUAAACAUAAAUAAUUAUAUAUACUUAAUUUUUAUUCUCGAAUUUGGGACAUAAUUACUUAAUAGUACCUCUGAUAAGUUUCUCGACCUUCUUAUUUAUCUCUCAUAGAAGUUAAUAUUAUAAACUAUAUUUUGGCGAUUUCAAGAGAUUAUUUUAAUAUUUUUUCAAGAGUUAAGUUUUGUUUAGUGAACACAUUUAAAACAACCAGUUAUUUCUUAUGAAAUCACUAUUGUGCGCCAAUUUAAUAUUAUAAUUACUAUUGUCACCAAUUUUUCUUAUUGGGUUCUUCAGUUAGAGGCAAGAGAUAUAUCUGACAUCUUUUCUAGUGUAUAGCAAAUCUAACGGUUUUUAACCUAGAAACUAAAUGGAUAUUAGACACCGGAGUUUAUUAAUGGUUUAAAGUUAUAUUAGAAGUUUGAGGGGUAUAUAGAUUUCUCUCUAAAUUUGAAGUUAAAGUAUAGUUAACUGAUCACUAACAACAACAGAAUUAGGUUAUAUGGACACAUGUUUGGGAUCACUGUUUGAGUAAGUGUCCAUUUAUGCUAAAACUUAAAAACACAUUCUACUAAUGCCUAAAUAUAAAGCCCAAUCCAACCAAAAAUAAAAGAUUACUCAAUCCACCACACCCAGUCCAUUUGGCCUGAUUACAAACAGAAAAGAAAAAAAAAAGAAAAAUCAAUUACCAUUUUUUCUUCUCUCUUCACUCAAUCCACUGAAAUUCUAGACGAAGAGCUUUUACUGUCGUCCUCCUUCGCCACCGCAGCCAACGAGAUAGAGUUUCGGCGGUUGCUAAAUGCUUAAAUAAGUGUUGGUAAAUUAGCAGCACUUUUUUAGCUUAUAGCGACACUCUUUAACUGUCACUAUAUACCUAGCGACCCCACAUAUAGCAACACUUUUUAAAAGUGUCGGUAAUUUUGUACCUACAUUUAAAAGUGUCGCUAUAUACCGUUUUUGUUGUAGUGGAUUCAAAUCAAAAUUUUGAAACAUUAAGCAGCUGAUUCAAAAUGGUUCAUAGUUCAAAUAAGUUAUGUACAUUCGUUCUGUUGUGCUUUAGACUCCGUCUCAGGUGAAGAUCAAUCGUGUAACAUUUCGCAACAUCAGAGGUACGUCUGCGUCGCCGGAGGCGAUCAAGAUGGUCUGCAGCGACGCCGAGCCGUGCGAAGGAGUCGAGCUCAGCGACAUCAGUCUGGACUACAAUGGCAGCAGAGAUGGAGAUGAUCAAGAAGAGAAAGUGUCGACUACAACUUGUGUUAAUGUUAGAGGGACUUCCAAUGGCAAUGUAAAACCUGCAUCUUGCAUCUAAUACAUCUAGCAUUAGCAUGCAUGCAACAAAUGUAGAGUAAUGUAAUUAUGAAAAUGUAAAUGUAUCAUUAUCGUGUUACUGAUCACAACUCUAUUCCAUUACUUUCACGUUGAUGACGACACAUCAAUCGUAGAAAUUUAAAUGCAGUUAUAUAUAGGAUUCAAUGGUAAUAAGCGUAAAUGUAAUACACUGAAUUUUUGCAAAUUGCGAAAUUCGAGUGUGAGGAAUGAUAUUUGGAACCCUCCCACAUAUUGAAAAGGGUUUAAAAAUGUUUACAUAUAAGUUUGAGAGUGAUCGGAAUGUCGGAAACAAGAAAGUGCAUUGAGCAGGCGAAAAUCAGCUUUUUCUGCUUGGUGUACCGGUACAGCCAUUAUGGUGUACCGGUACACAAUGCAGAAACGUGGCAGCUUGGGCUUUUUCGUAAUUUCACAUUUGACACCUACCUAUUUGAUCCCAGCACGACUCUUGGAGCUUGCUGGAGUGUGCUAGAGCCCAGAGAAGCAACCUUGCACCAUUUUCUCUCUCUCUCUCUAGGGUUUUUCUCUCUCUACAAAGAAUUCGCCGAUUUCGCUCGUUUUCGUCGUCGCGCGCAUUCUUCGCUGGUUGCGGGCGUCGCAGCGCCUUUGUGCACGUGCAAGAGAGCGUUUUGGAAGGGUUUUCGCAGCCCUGGACUAGUGGGGUGCUGGUUGGAAGCUUGAGAAGGUAAACGACUCGAUUUUCUCCAUUAUCGACGUUCGAGUAGACGNUACAGGAGAGGCUAGGGAUCGUGGCAAGGGAGUCGCGCCUAGCUAGGGACUACUAGGAGCGUGCUAGUCAAUCACCUUGCUACUCGGGCUACGGCCGAGGGUGAUGUCCUUAUGUAUAGAGAGACUACCAUUGUACCUUCUUUUUGUAUACCCGUGAUGUAUAUUUACUUUCGGGGUUGAGAUUAUAGUAGUGUUACUUCUCCUUUUUGCUGAGAUCAUGGAUUGUAUACUCUUUGUAUUUUGACUUGGAUUGGAUACUCGUGGUAUAUCGACUUGCACUUUGCUCUGAUAUCAGGAUAGGACUCUCUUGUUUUACUUCCUAUCGACUUGCUUCUUGUAGACGCCUUAUAUACUGCAGGUGUAUGGCGGGUCUGUGCACGUGCCGGAUAUGCUUCCGCUGGUACCCGGGCGUGACAGUAAAGCUUCUAUGCUAUCAAAAGUAUAGAAAAUUUGAUGUUUUCGAUUUUUUGACCAUUGGAUUAAGAAUUGUACGGUGGGAAUGAUUGUGGUCCCUCCUAGGGUUGAGUAGUAUCUCUAGGGUUGAGUGAUCACCACAGGAUAAUAGUAUUAAUCCAAAGAUUAGAAAUAAUUAAAAGAGCUGAUCUAGGACAGAAGUACUAGAUCCUCUAUGCUUUCAAUAACAUAAUAGCUCUACUUUGAUAAUAAUAUUGAAAAUUCGAGUAAAAAAUUAUAGUAAAUUAAUGUUUGAGAAUCAAAACUAAAUUAAUGUUUGAGAAUCAAAACUAUAAUUUAGCUGAAUAAAAAUCAUAACUAAGGGCAUGUUUGGUUCGAAGGAUACGCGGCUUGAAAUAAAAAUCCGAAUAAUUUAUUUCUAUUGUUAGUGUUUGGUUUAAAGGAUUGACAUUCCGAUUUACACUCGAGGGAAUUCGAAUUGCUCCAAAACGGGAAGAGAUUAAGAAAGAAAACUCCUUAUAUUUACUAAAAUUAUUUAGACUCAAAUAUUAAUUUAUAUUUAAUUUUAGAAUCACUAUAACUUUAAAUUUAAAUUAAAUAUGAAUUAAAAAUUCAAUUAUUAAAUUUAUAAUUUAAAUUUAAAUUCUUAUAUAAGUUUGAUAUUUGAAUUUAGUUUUACAGUUUGACUUUGAACUUUAAUUUAAAUUAUAAAUAUAAAAUUUGAGUUCAAAUUUAAAUCCAAUUUUGAUGAAGAAUUUGUGUAGUAUAUUUAUCUUUUAAUUUGAAUAUGAUGCCAAUCCCGAUUCAUUUUAUGGACCAAACAAAUAAAAUGUUUUCAGCAUGCCGUUUUCGAUUCCAAUCCGUUUUCAUUUCUAUUCCGAUUUCAGCACCUAUUUCGAGCCAAUCGUACUCCAAAAUCAGACGAUCAGAUUUUAAAACCGUCUUAGUCGGGUUCAUAUUCGCAUAAUAUUUCUAACUAAAAUCUGUAACACCCAAAUAAUCCUACAACAUAUAAAAAAUAAUUACAAUUUGAUUAUGAGAAGCCUUGCACCAUCAUAAUAAUAAUAAUAAUAAUAAUAAUAAAUUUAAAUAUUUUGUGCUGCUGGUUUGGAUGCAAUGAAUUAUUAUUGUUAGCGGAUCGGAUCGUUAUAAUUGGUAUGAAAGGCGAACACUAACCGAAAGUAUAAGAAUUGUUUGCAGAUGGAACUGGACUUAAACAUAUUGGAUCCAAUAAGUAAUUAUUGCUAACGGGUUGAAUUUUCACAAAAUCAAAAUCUGAAUCCGACCCGACUUGGAAUUCUAAUCCAAAUCCAACUUCCACUCCCUAGUCCCUAGACUAGCUAGAAGUACAAAAAUUCGAAACUUAUAUAAAUCCCACCAAAACCCAACAAAACCAACGAAACCGCGGGAUGCAGCAGUCAUCAUUAAUAUUCCCUCUAUCGUAUCGCCGAUGCCAGUCUUCUCCGACGCCUGUCAGCAGGCGGCCGUCGCCGACCUCCGCCGGCGGCUGGACGGCAUAGCGCUCCGCUGCGGCUGCCUUCUCCGUCUCUGCGACGUUGUCCGACCUCCGAACCCGACGAUGACGACGGCGUGCCCCGCUCCGACCACCGUAUCUGCAAUUUACUUAAUUUUGCCUUUCAUUGCUUGAGAAACUCAUAAACAGAUUAAAACAAUUUGCAGCUAACACCCUACAUAAAAUAAGCUGCUCUACAAUUAAGUUGCUAAUUUAACCUCUUUCUGGUAAUUGGCUGAGUGAAAGUAGUUAACUUAUAAUGCAAUAUUUAGAACAUUUCCAAACAUAGGCAGUGUUUUUGUAUAGCAAACACACCCAAAAAAUAACAGAAGAAGUUUGGGUACAAACAAGUCUCCAAUUCCUUCCUUCUAUAAAAGCCUGCAAAACUGAUAGCUGACAGAGGUGUAGCAGAUUAAGACAGACAUCCAAUUUGAAGAGAAGACAGCAUUCUGAUUAUUGAUUACAGAUGGGUUGUGGAUACAACAACAUUUUCGCAGUCUGCUCGCUGCUUUUGCUUGCAUUGGCUGCGAACUCACAGGACUCGAGCCUGCAGUUCAAUGUGAAGGAUUUCGGUGCGGUAGCAGACGGCGUAACCGACAGCACGCAGGUAAGCAGUGCUAUGAUGAUGAUUCUUGUUUUAUAUAAUUUUGGAAAAAAAACCUUAACCCUCCUUGAUCGAUUAGAAAUACGUAAGAGGGUUACAACGAUAAAAUCAUUAUUGUUAAAAAUGAAUAUUUGACAGAAUUAGAGGGCACGCUAACGGAAAAGGUUAAGUACUGAUGGCAUAAGUUUCCAGGAGGGUUAAGUGCAUAUAUAUAUAUAUAUAUAAUGUAGAGUUACUAUACUAUCGGAAGUAUAAGGGGAUUUGAUUUGAUACUUUCGACUUUUUGACCCUUGAAUUAAGAAUUCUACGAUUGGGAUGAUUGCGCCCCCCCAGAAUUGAAUAGUAUUCUUAGGGUUGAGGAGUCCCCACAGGGUAAUAGAUUAAUCCAAAGAUUAGAAAUGAUCAAAAGGGUUAAUUUAAGGGUCAAAAAGUCGAAAGUAUUAGAUCCGCUAUGCUUCCGAUAUCAUUAUCGCUCUACUCUCUCUCUCUCUCUAGUCUCUAUAUAUAUUUUCUUUCCAACUUUCAUCACAUAGACAAACUUGUUUAGCAUCGCGCACGAUACGAUUGAUGACUAGUUUCUUUCGUUUUGUUUUGAAGGCAUUUCAAGCGGCGUGGAACGCCGCGUGCGCGGCGGAGGGGAAACCGGGCCUUGCGAUUCCGGAGGGCGCCUAUGCGGUCGGCCCGUUGAUGUUCAAAGGGCCGUGCAAGGGUUUCAUGGUGGUGCAACUGAGAGGCCAGCUACUAGCCUCGACCGAUCUCAACGCGUACUCGAAGAACUGGAUCGAGUUCCAGUACAUCACCGGCCUCCUCGUCUCCGGCGGUGGCAGGCUCGACGGUCAAGGGGCUUCGGCUUGGCCUCACAACCAGUGCCCUAAGCAGUCCCACUGCAGGCUUCUGCCUAUGGUAAGUGACCGUCAGCCCGAGAAUNGAGAGAGAGAGUUGGACUGGGCUACUAUUAGUAGCAAAAUUUUAUUGUUGCUACCAGUUUUUUAGCCUUUGGAUCAAUUCUUUUCAUUAUUUCUAACCAUUGGAUUAAAUACUAUAACCCAGUAGGGACCACUCAACCCUAGGGGGACCACUCAUCUCUAACCGACUAAUAUCAUCCUGACCCUAUAAUUUUUCAUCCAAUGAUUAAAAACUUGAUAGCAAAAAGAGCGUUUUACUAUUAAUAGUAUUCCAGUCUAAUUCUAUAUAUAUAUAACAAUAGAAUUUUGCUACUAAUAGUAGCCCAGUCCAACUCUCUCUCUCUCUAUAUAUAUAUAUAUAUAUGUAUAUAUAUAUAUAGUGUAGAGCUAUCGGAACCAAGAAUUUGAUGCUUCCGACUUUUUGACCUUUGGAUCAAGAAUUUUAUGGUUGAGAAGAUUGCAGUCCCCCUUAGAGUUGAGUGGUCUCCACUGGAUAAUAAUAUUAAUCCAAAUGUUAGAAAUGAUCUUGAUCUAAGAGCCAAAAAGUCGGAAGCACCAGAUUUUCUACACAUCCGAUAGUAUAGUAGCUCUACUACUCUCUCUCUCUCUCUAUAUAUAUAUAUAUAUAUUCUUUCGAACUUUUCAUCACAUAGACAAACUUGUUUAGCGUCGCGGACGAUCAAUGACUAGUUUCUUUCCUUUUUUUUUUUUGAAGGCAUUUCAAGUGGCGUGGAACGCUGCAUGCGCGGCGGAGGGGAAGCCGGGCCUUAUAAUCCCUGAAGGCGCCUACGUGGUCGGACCGUUGAUGUUCAAAGGGCCAUGCAAGGGGUUCAUGGUGGUGCAACUGAGAGGCCAGCUACUAGCCUCGACCGAUCUCGACGCGUACUCGAAGAACUGGAUCGAGUUCCAGUACAUCACCGGCCUACUUGUCUCCGGCGGUGGCAGGCUCGACGGUCGAGGGGCUUCGGCUUGGCCUCACAACGACUGCCCUAAGCAGUCCCACUGCAGACUCCUGCCUAUGGUAAGUGACCGUCAGCCGAGAAUAUAUAGUUGUAAAGUGAUAGUUCUAACUGUUGCAGUUGGACGUAGUCCUUAGUGUUCAGCUUUGUCACGGACGCGACGGUCAGUGGCAUUUCCUCGGUGGACAGCAAAUUCUUCCACAUGAACAUCUUCUCGUCGAGCAACUUCGCACUCGACUCGAUCAAGAUCAGCGCGCCGGGCGACAGCCCGAACACGGACGGCAUCCACAUUGGCGACUCGACUGAUGUCCGCAUAACAAACUCCGUCAUCGGCACAGGGGACGACUGCGUGUCGGUCGGCCCCGGGAGCGUCAACGUGACCAUCUCCGACGUGUUCUGCGGGCCGGGCCACGGGAUCAGCGUCGGAAGCUUAGGGAAGUAUCCGGGCGAGAAGGACGUCGUCGGCCUCACCGUCAGGAACUGCACUCUCACCGGCACGACGAACGGGCUCAGAAUAAAGACAUGGCAGUCGGCGCCGUCGCCGUCGUCGGCCUCCGACUUCCAUUUCGAAGACAUUGUCAUGAACAAUGUGUACAACCCCAUCAUCAUAGACCAGAAAUACUGCCCAUUUUCUGCUUGUUCCCAAACAGUAACAUCCAACUCUACACCUCUUGCUUUUCGCCUUCUUUUAUUGGCGAUUUCAACAGUAACUGAUCUUUCGAAAUUUUGAUUUUACUAUCCCACCUUUCAAUUUAUUCGAUUCGAAUUAGUCAACUACAUUUCGACUUCAAAUUUGAAUGCAUUUUCGCAACUAUAAAUUCAUUAAAAUAGAUAAUAAUUAGCUUAAAUUUUAUUCCUGAAUUUGGAGCAAUUAUUUAUAUAUUUUGGAAAAGUUUUCGAUUUUCUUAUUUACCUCUCUCUCUUAGAAGUCUAAUAUUAAAAAUAUAUUUUUGACGUUUCAAAUUAUUUUAAAUAUUUUCCCAGAGUUAAAUUCGGUUAGUGAACGGUUAGCUAGGAACAACAGUUAUUUUUAUAAAAUUACUAUUUUAUCAUUUCAAAUAUACUCUUCUAUCAUCACCGAUUUUUCUUAUUUCCUCUUAAGUUAGAGGCAAAAGAGGUAUUUGGACUUCCUUUUAGGUCUGUUAGAAAUUUAAUCCGGGUUUAAUCCGAGAAGACUUAAUGGAUAUUAAUAGCAGAGUUAUUUUUAAAUAACAGAGCAUUUCAGAAGUUUUGAGGGGUAUAUUAGAUAUUAUCUCUAAAUUUUGAAGUUAAAGUAUUGUUGACUGAUUCAAAUUAAAAUUUUAAAACCUUAAGUAGCUGAUUCAAAAUGGUUUAUAGUUUAGAUAAGUUAUGUACAUUCGUUCUGUUGUGCUUUAGACUCCGUCUCAGGUGAAGAUCGAUCGUGUAACAUUUCGCAACAUCAGAGGUACGUCUGCGUCGCCGGAGGCGAUNGUCGGCCUCACCGUCAGGAACUGCACUCUCACCGGCACGACGAACGGGCUCAGAAUAAAGACAUGGCAGUCGGCGCCGUCGCCGUCGUCGGCCUCCGACUUCCAUUUCGAAGACAUUGUCAUGAACAAUGUGUACAACCCCAUCAUCAUAGACCAAAAAUACUGCCCAUUUUCUACUUGUUCCCAAACAGUAACAUCCUACUCUACACCUCUUGUUUUUCGCCUUCUCUUAUCUGCGAUUUCAACAGCAACUGAUCUUUCGAAAUUUUGAUUUUACUGUCCACCCUUUCAAUUUAUUCAAUUUGAAUCAGUCAACUACACAAAUUUGAAUGCAUUUUUUUACUUUAAGUACUCUUUGCAACUAUAAAUUCAUUAACAUAAAUAAUAAUUAGCUUAAAUUUUAUUCCUGAAGUUGGGACAAUUACUUAUAUACCUCUGAAAUGUUUUCGACCUUCUUAUUUAUCUCUCAUAGAAGUUUAAUAUUAAAACUAUAUUUUUGACAUUUCAAAUUAUUUUAAAUAUUUUUUCAGNUCCGGGUUUAAUCCGAGAAGACUUAAUGGAUAUUAAUAGCAGAGUUAUUUUUAAAUAACAGAGCAUUUCAGAAGUUUUGAGGGGUAUAUUAGAUAUUAUCUCUAAAUUUUGAAGUUAAAGUAUUGUUGACUGAUUCAAAUCAAAAUUUUGAAACAUUAGGUAGCUGAUUCAAAAUGGUUUAUAGUUUAGAUAAGUUAUGUACGUUCGUUCUGUUCUACUUUAGGCUCCGUCUCAGGUGAAGAUCGAUCGUGUAAUAUUUCGCAACAUCAGAGGUACGUCUGCGUCGCCGGAGGCGAUCAAGAUGGUCUGCAGCGACGCCAGGCCGUGUGAAGGAGUCGAGCUCAGCGACAUCAGUCUGGACUACAAUGGCAGCAGAGAUGGACACGAUCAAGAAGAGAAAGUGUCGACUACUACUUGUGUUAAUGUUAGAGGGACUUCCAAUGGCAAUGUAAAACCUGCAUCUUGCAUCUAAUACAUCCCCCCCCCCCCCCCCCCCCCUAGCAUUAGCAUGGAUGCAACAAAUGUAGAGUAAUGUAAUUAUGAAAAUAUAAAUGUAUCGUUACUGUGUUAUUGAUCACAAUACUAUUCCAUUACUUUCACGUUGACGACACAUCAAUGGUAGAAACCGAAAUUAAGUUAUAGGAUUCAAUGAUAAUAAUAUAAAAAGUUCGAGUCAAAAAUUACAGUAAACUAAAGUUUGAGAUUAAAAAUCAUAAGUAACGGUAUGUUUGGUUUGAACGAUACGAGGCUCGAAAUAAAAAUCCCAAUAAUUUAUUUCUAUUAUUAGUGUUUGGUUUGAGAGAUUGACAUUUCAAUUUACACUCGAGAGAACUCGAAUCGCUCCAAAACGGGAAGAGAUUAAGAAAGAAAACUUCUUAUUUUUACUAAAAUUAGUUAGACUCAAAUAUUAAUCUACAUUUAAUUUUAGAAUUAUUAUAAUUUAAAUUUAAAUUAAAUAUGAAUUAAAAAUUUAAUUAUUAAAUUUAUAAUUUAAAUUUAAAUUAUUAUAUAAGUUUGAUAUUUGAAUUUAGUUUUGCAGUUUGACUUUGAACUUUAAUUUGAAUUAUAAAUAUAAAUUUUGAGUUCCAAUUUAAAUCCGUCAUAGUGGGGUUCAUAUUUGGAUAACAUUUUCUAACUAAAAUCUGUAACACUCCAAUAGUCCCAACAUAUGAAAAAAUAAUUAUAAUUUGAUUAUGAGAGGUCUAGCUAGGGAUGCAAAUGGAUCCGGGGUGGUGGAGCUCCCGCCCCGCAGUAAACGGGAGGAAAUAAAUGGAUUCGAGGCAGGAAACAAGGCAAUUUUUAUGAUCCGUGGCGGAUUCGGGGCAGGAAAAGGAAAAAUUUUUGAUCCGCUCCGAAUCCGCCCCGAAUGUAUGUCUUUAAAAUUUUUCCAUAUGUAUGUAUUUAAAAUUUUUGAAUUUUGUUGCGAGUUGUGAUUGAUAUUUUUGAUUUUUAUAGUUGAUAUUAUUAAUUAUAUAUAACUUCAUAAUAUUAUCAAUUAAUAUUAAAAAUUUUAUUGAUUUAUAUUUAUAAAAUAUUAAUAAUAUUAUAAUUUAUAAAACAAAUACUAUUUGGCGGAGCAGAUUCGGGGCGCCGUCGGGAGGCGGGUUAUAAGGCGGGGCGGAUU
Molecule: long non-coding RNA, 55449 nt
Filed under: Ananas comosus (pineapple)
Lineage: Eukaryota; Viridiplantae; Streptophyta; Magnoliopsida; Poales; Bromeliaceae
Description: long non-coding RNA (ACOM_LNC027721)
Source: RNAcentral